RNAcentral lists this long non-coding RNA (59121 nucleotides) under Brassica napus (rape). RNAcentral's name for it is "long non-coding RNA (BNAP_LNC000952)". The stretch from base 27515 to 27639 matches the Rfam family "MIR9563 microRNA precursor family". Lineage: Eukaryota; Viridiplantae; Streptophyta; Magnoliopsida; Brassicales; Brassicaceae. The record is from RNAcentral.
AAAUAGUGUAAUAAGAAGCACCGAUGGGAAGAGGUACUGAAGAUCAAAAAGUUACUACAGUAUAUUUCUCUCUCCUAAAAGCUCUCCAAACAAGGCGACAACAAAGACGAAGCUCCGUUAGCUCCGGCGGUUGGCUUCCUUGCCGUCGCCGGAAGCUCCUCCUCCCCUCCUCUUGGUUGUUUUUUUGCUCCCGUCUUUCACCUCUUAGUUGGCGCUGAUAUGCUAGGCGUUCUGGUGGAUGUCUCGUGGCGGAACCCUAACUCUGCUCCGGGAAGAGCUAUUUCCGGCGGUCUGAGGCCUCUCCCUGGAAUCUCUGCGAGGCGUCAACGGUUGUGGAGCACGGCGAGUCGGCGUUUUAGGUUUCGACCUCGGUAGAUCUCGAUUUUACCUUUGUAGAUCUAGCCGGCGUUGAUGGUGAUGGCGGCGCGUGAGUGUAAGAUUCUGGCUCUCUCCUCUGUUCUCAUUCAGGUUUUACUGGCGGUUAUCGUUGUGGAGAGGUCCGGUGACUUCCCCUGAACUGGCGCUUGGUGUCUUGCUUCGGCGAAGGGGUUUUGUUCACUGCUCGAUGGAGGCGACAGCGUGUUGCUGUUGGUGCGUGCCCAGACCUCCGGUGGUCGUGUGGUCACGGAGCGUUUGGGGUUUUUUCGUUUGUGGCUUAAGUGUUGCGGGAAGCUCCGUCGUCUAUGGCGGUUUCUUUCUCUUCUACGGCGGCCUCCUUCCAUUUGCCAGACUCUUCUCAUUUCUGUGAUUGUGUUUUGGGUCCUCUGGUCCCGAUUUCUCCUCUCCGCUUCAUCAGCUUCUCUUCGACUCUCCAUCGGUUUGAAGCCUUGAAGCGCAACAAAGGCCGGCUAAGGUUCUCUUACUCGGGCCAGGGCGCCAUUUGUAACAGCGACUUGGUCUGUCGGGUUCAGGUGGCGAGGAGACCUGGUGGGAGAUUGACCAUCCCAGUGUUCCAGUGACCUCUUGGUUACGAGAGCAGGUUUAUCACCUUCUUUUUUGCAGGUUACGGAGUGCACCUUUGCAGUCAGCUUUCAUCACAGCCUGUCUUUGUCCGGAUGGUUUGGGUUGGUGGUCUCCGGAUCAUCGUUCAAGUUCAUCCAGCGUCUUGGGAUUUUCGAGGCCUUGGUAUAUAUCUUUGCUUCUUUUCCUAUCGGUUUUAGAGCUUAAAGUCAGUGGAGAGAGCAAGCUUGUAGAAACCGUCGAGAACUAGCUACACCCAUGAUGGCACGAGUGUUCCGGCAACCGAGGAAACGAGGUGAACGCCACCCUCUUGUGGUUCCUAUCAUCGGCAGAGAACAGUGAUUGACAGUCUAAGAUUUGCGGAGUCAACUAGCGGAAUACGCCGGUGUGGUGGUUGAGCGAAGCUAGUUAGAUGACGUUUCUGAAUUAGAUCAUUUUGGUUGAAACAUGCUUGUAAUCGAAACUUGAAUCCCCGAUCUUCGGGUUAUGAAUAAUAUAUUAUAUUAAAAAAAAAAAAAAAAAAAAAAAGCACCGAUGGUCUAGUGGCAGUAAAUACGGACCGCCACCAAUGUAAGCAUUCCCGGAAUAGUCCUUUCCGGACUUGGAAGGUAAACAAAGAGCGACUUUGUAAGGGAUCUUGUAAGAAGAGACGAGGUCACUAACGAAAGACGUGGAGCUAUUAGCGAGUCCGAGAACGCCGUUAGCACCAUCAGGAAGCUCUGUCAAGGCAUCAAAGAAAGAUAUGCAAACGAGACGAGUGAGACAUCAGCAGAUGUACACGUCUCGUUUCUGCAUGUAGGUCUGAAGGGGCCGUAGCAAGUGUUAUGGAAGCAUUCGUCUUUAGGUGUUGGGCAGCAACGGGACCCACAGAGGAUAGGGUCAUAGGAGGUUGACUUAUAGCCGGGUUUGCCGCAUUGGAAGAAUAAGGCUGAGCCACUAACGUCUAGGACUAGGUUAACGGAAAGUGGUGGCUGCCCGACGGUCAUGUUGGUGUAGUAGAGACCGGUUUUGGUGUCUUUGAAGAUUGGAAUCGCAAAAGUAGGAGGCCUUUGCUUUGGUAUUGGAUUUGGCUUUUGCUUUGAUAUUGGAUCUGGCUUUGCGUAGUGUUCAGUCAAACCUGUGGUGUUUGCGAUUAAUAUGAAUAUGAUGUUUAGAAAAAUGAAAAGACGAGACAUUUUUGCUGGUGGGAAUAGUAGAGAUGUUUAUAAUUAAGGUGUGUGUUAUGUGCACCUUUGGUACUCAUUAGGCAUUCAUAUAGACUUACAAAGUUGAAUGGGAUGUAUAUUAUUUAUCUGAUUAAGAGAUAAAUAAAUGAAACUAUAAACGUGACAGAACGUAAAAUAUGCAAAGCAUGUGAGGAAGACUUAAUUGAGGUAUGCAUCCAGGUACAGAAUUAUUAGAUCGCAUAUGCAGAUAACUAACGUGUAGCAUCCACCAUAUAUAAAAUGCAUAAAAUAUAUGGAUAUCUCUCGAUUUGGACAGUGUGUUUGAAUAAAUAAUUGAUUAUAUAUGGCAUUGUAAGAGAUUAAUAAAUGAAAUUAUAAGAUUUUCUUAACGUUUUUAUACAUAUUAUGUUUUUAAUAAUUUCUUUAGAAUUUUAUUUUAAAUUUUGAUUGCCAGGAAAAAACUUCAACAUCUGCCCUAAAAUGAGUAUAUAUAUAUAAAAUUAUAUACCAUAUGUUUCAUAUUAUAAGUGUUAUUUUGACUUUGUGCACACAGAUUAAGAAAACAAUUAAUUUUGUAUAUUUCAUAUAUAAAAACACGAUUACCUAUACACCUAAUCAUAUUUUAACCAAUAAAAAAAUAAAUAACUGAAUAAAAUUAAUAAAUUUUGCAUUGAAAAUCGAAAACCACAUUUAUUUUGUAACGAAAAAAUUUAUACAACGACACUUAAUAUAAAACGGAAGGAGUAUAAAAUUUCAAACUUAUUUUUACAUUAUCAUAUGCCCUGAUAAUUUUCUGAGACCGUUAAUCCCUAAAGUGUUAUAUUUUCAAUACUCUCAGUUGACUUUAAAAUUGAAAAAUUGGCUUCAGUCGAGAAUCUGCGGAGAAUUUCGACGAAAGUCAAUUCUUCUAUCAGAAAUCCGUCGAAAUAAGUCAUUUUUUAGUUUCCGUCGGGAAUUUUGGAAGCCAAACUUUUUUUUUCCGAUGGAAUUCUAUGAAAAAAUAAUUAUCUACGAAUUUGUUUUCCGUCUGCCGUAGCGAAUCAACUUGUUUGUUUUCUUGUAGUGAAUAUUUGAAAUUUUCUUUUGUUGUCAGUGCACUCCAUAACAUAGGUAAUAAAAACAAAACUUUUUUGUCUCCUAACUACUCCUUGUGAUUCAGAAUGAUAAACUCAAAAGCCUUAGAAUCUUCUUCCAGGGCGGCCAAACACAUUGCCUGGUGCCAAAGCUUGUGGCUCCACUUGAGAAAACCCGGGGAUAUCAGACAUUCCAAAAGAAGCAAGCAUCUAUGGAGUCUCUUUGUCGACAUUAACCUCAGUAGGUUCUAAUGGCUGAUUCGUCGCGUCGGGACAAAGUCCAUUCGCCGUUCACGCUCUUUCUCUUGUAGCUAUACGGAGAUUCCACGCACUGGACUUUUUUGGAUAUGUUUGUUCAAGUGGGUGGAGAAUCAGCAAUCUUGUUGCGUCGUGAAGAUUUCUUCACAGUUUUGGUACGAACAAAACAUCUUUCACCACUUUUUUACUUAACUACCCAAUAUUAAGAUAACAACACGAACAGCAAUAAAAGGGUCAACUAUCUACAAGUUCCUUAGCAAUGACGUACAUUACAACUUAAGCAGAACGUACCUGCACGGCCUGGGCGGAAACUUUAUGUAUUAAAUAUACGAAUCUUAUUAGGGUUUCUUGCAAGGUUAUUAACACGUCAAAACGCAUUUAGCAAACCCAUUUAACCAACAAGAUUUAAUAAAUAGGCCUUAAUGUUAGGCCCAUUAUUUCUGCUUUAGUUCUAUAAGACAAUUGUAUAUUUGGAGUUUUAUCCUUAACUAAGCCCACAAUAGUUAGACAUUGUACGUAUAUAGGUUUUCAUGUGAUGUGACUAACAAGUUGAUUACAUUGGGGCCAUGGGGAGUAAUUCUCUAAUGCAAGUUGAUGACUCUUGGAAGAGGCCAAGUUCUACUUCGAGAGGUAUACAUAACAAAACUAACAACACUGAAUUUACAGUAUUUGUAAUGAUGUUUCUUUCUUUUAAGUCCCAAUUGAGUUAUUAAAAGCCUGUAUUAAGAGGCUUUUCGUGGAUGUUAAAACACAUUAUACCAUAUGAUAUAUAUAGUUUUUUUUUUUUUUUGCUAAGAAUGUUAAUAUCAUUAACUAGUAAUGAAAGAGAUUACAAGUUGUGAAACCUGAACCAAAGAGCUUCGAGAAGCUAGUUUAGUUGUACAAGCCGCAAAAAAAGUUAAAAAAGCUUGUAGAACAUGAUAGGACUAAUCUAGUAAACUAGAUUAAUGCUAAAACUAAAGAUGUGUUGUUUGCACUUAUACAUUUGAAGAGUUGUAGUGGCUGAACCACCUUAAGCUGGAACCUGCAAAAGGAAUCAUUAGGUCUCAAAGAAGACUGAUAACCAGAGGACCCCUUGGGCGGGAGGCUGCAAUCGUAUUAGCCGGAAGAGGUGACCAAGCUCUGCAUCAGCCCAUACAACGCUACCGACUCAGGGAAUACCAACAACAGCAAGCCUUGAGAGACUCUUGAGCUUCACGGUGUGGAAGCAGGCGGUAGGGAAACGGCAUAAACCGGCCACAGACCAAGUCGGAAGACUCGACGAGACUCAAAGAAAGGCAGCUAACAUCUUUGGGCAGCCAUAAAACAAUUAAAUGAUUUUAGGACAGUGAGAGGCAGAGCUCUCAAAUCAGGCGAGAGCUACGGCGAAGGUGAGAAACUCCAGACGCCACGGCGGCUUAACUACGGAACAGCCCAAGAUCCCUUGCCGAUCUGCGAAGAGGAGGAGCUCACCGGAACCAAAAGCACCAUACGCACUGCUGUGCAAAGAGACAGAUCUAGUAACAGAGUAAACCUCCACGAUGGCCUCUACACCGUGUACCUGCGGGAAACAGAGAAGAGGAACUCACACAGACCAGAGGAUAGCAAAACGACGACAGAGGGUCUGGAGGACGGUAAGGAAGGCUCCUGGCGAGGCAGCGACGCUCUCCGUUUCCGACAAACCGUGAACCCCUAGAUCUGACCCAAAUCUAAGAAAAGACCCUAUGUCGCGAGAGAUCUCCUACUGGCUCCACUAAUCGCUUCAGCUUGCUAAACCUCGCUUCUCCUCCAGCGGAUUGACAGACGCCCGCCUUGCCGUUGUUAAGUCUCCGGCGAGCCGAAGAAGUCCAGAGGAGAAAAGCAUAUCGGAGUAGAUGGAGAGGAGAAGGAUUGGAGAGAGAGGCAAAAGAGAGGAAGAAGAAGAAGCUGGGGUGGCGAAGAAGACCAGUACAGCAAGCUUGCCGUCGAUCUCCUCCACCGGAUUUGAACCCAGAUGCUGACGGCGCUAGGGUUUCAAGAGAUUUGGGGGGAGAGACUCUAGAGAGAAAACCAAACUUUCUCUCUCUCUCUCUUGUCUAUCGCACACUUCGUGGUUGUAUUUAAGAUGUUGUAAUACACUUUUAUGAUAUAUAUAGUUGCACGACUUGACUUAUAACUAGGACAGCUGCUUUUCGACGUAACGAAUGGAAUAACUUUCUUUUACUUUUAUUGGUGGAGUAUAAUUUCAUAUCAGAUCUUGCAAGUGCCAACACUUGUUGCUAUUUUAAGCAUUUAAUCAAAGAAUCCUGAAUUCUUAAAAAUAUUGUGGAGGAAAACAAAAUUCAUUUUUGUACAAAUUCUAUUGCGAUCUUUUCUGCAAUUUUACAUAGAAGAAAAACUUACGCAUGUACAUAAAAAUAUAGGAGUAUUGAUUGAGAUUUUUUUUUAUUAUUAUACUUGGGAUUGUUAUACUAGUCCCUUUCGAAUAAUUUUUGUUUUAGUAGGAAACAGAAUAUUCUACUUCUGUAAAGCGAAUGUCAAAAAUACAAUCUCUGAGAAAGUAAAAAAGGAGGUCAAUGGAAAUCAAGAGACACACACUGUCAAAGUGUCGACAUCUUGAAAGUCAUGACAAGUGGAGGCAAGCCUGUGAGUCUGUGACUAUGACUCUGACAAUUGACAUUCACUAGUUUCUUUUUGCACAGCUUGCCUUGAUUGCUACAAAAGUCGUUGAUCUUUAUUUUUGUCAGCGGCUUUGACUUCAAUUUAUAUUUUACAUAGUAUUAUUUUUUCUUUUUCUUUUCUUUGGCUAAAAGCCUAAAACACAUACUUCAUGGGGAUACAGUUGUGAGAUUAUCACUGAUCACAUAUUUUCUUGCGUUCUCUUGAGAUAACAUCAGAUUCACCUACAUACGAGUUACUGUACAUAUUUAAAUUUAACAUGAUGUCAAGUAACAGCAAUAUAUAUACUUCAAAUUAACUUCCCAAUGUAAAAUGUCUUAUAUCUUAUGUACCAAUACGCCCUCGCGUCUUUCCUCUACUUGCCAACAAAAUAACAUAUUGGCUGUUUUAUUCAUAAAAAUAAACUUGUUGAACAACCCUAGAAGUUUUUUAGACCAUAAGCUUUCACCAAGUUUUGUCUACUAAAGCAUUUUUCAACUCAAAAUUCUGUUAAUUCCUUCAAAACUUUCCACGUCUUUGAAAUCAAGAGACCCAUCUCCUUCAGCAUCAUAGCUCGCAUGAACACUAUAAAACACAUACACGAGCACUGCCAACCCCGAGAAGAACCCGAAUCUUAUAUACGAAGGAGCAUCCAGCGAUCCGAGCAAAAAUAUGUUCAAAAAUAUCGAAACGCAAGGAGUCCACGGCAUCAACGGUACUCCCCAAAACUCAGGAGUUCUAGCUUGAGGCACAACACAAUGGAAUAUCUGCACGAUGGCUAUAGCCGCCACACCACUGGCUCCAAGCAUAAACCAUUUUGGUGAACCGGACGGUGCGAGUUUCCAGACUAAGGUGAAGACAAUUGAGGUUAUAGAGAAUAGACAAAGGAAAGAGAGUGUAGGCCAGGGUCUGGUGUAUCCAACCGCUACGUAACGCCGGAAUAUAACAGCGUUUGCAACCAUGUAAAAGACGAAGAGGGUUCCGAUUGAAACGAGGUUUAAGAGAACGUUCAGGUCUGUAAAGAGUGCGAGCGCCGCCGUGAAGAUUCCUGAAGAAACAAUACAAAAUUAGUACUUGUGAAGAAGGAUAUGCUAAUUAAAUCCAUAUUCUUUAGUUAGCUCAAUCAUUCAUAUUAGUAUUUUGAUAUAACGCAGAUAUAUUCUAAGAUGUAUAGAGCUGAUUAUGUAACAAAAACAAUUUGAAGAUACUGGAGGAAUUUGUUCCAUUAGCUUGGUGGAUAAGAGUAUUUUCUUUUUCUUUUUGUAAAGAUUAGAGUUCAAGAUCUAUCCUUAUGUGUUAUGUCCUAAAAGACUAGAUCAACGUCUCAAGAUUUAUAAAAUUUAAAACAAAACACUUUCUCUUAAAAGACGGCUUAUAGUCUUUUAGAAAGUCUAAAACAUAAGUAUAUUUGGUUUCUUAAUAAUUUUCGGUUUAUAUAAUAUAGUAUCCAAACUCGUUAGAUCAGUAAACAAUGCUUUUUUUUUUUUUUUUUUUUUUUUUUUUUUUUUUUUGAAACACGAUCAGUAAACAAUGCUUACACGAACGAAUAUGCAAACAAAAGUAACUUGUGGGUCUAAAUUCGCUACCACGACACGACUUGACCAUUUCGGGAAACUUAUAAUUUAAAUAAUGAUUCAUCAAAGAUCUUACACAACAAUAAUUAGCCAAUUUUUAUAUUAGUGGCCAGACCAAUGACCUGACCUAAAGAUGUCAUGCACAUAAGUUUGUGUAAAGUUACGAAACAGAGAGCUUCAAAAGGUAACGUUAAAGGACAAAAAGAGACCAAAGAGACCCAACAAUAUGUCACGAUCAAAACCGUUGAAAAGACUGAACUUUUUGAACCCAGUUGAUGAUAACACGAGCACGACAUUUUGUCGGAUUCUAUGUUCUAAAUCAAGAACCAACACCAAAACAAUCACAUAAGAACAUAAGACAUGGCCUACAUUAAUAUAGUCACACAGUCAGAGCUAGAUGACUACAGCCACAAUCACAAUCAAAAAUUAGUUGGGAAAUAUUUUUUUAAAAAUUUGAUUUUUUGGUUUUGUUUUCUUCUUGUGUACACGUAUAUGUAUGUAAUCACGUGGAAAGUGUUGAUCUACACAUUACACUCAAAUCCAAAAAAAAGAUCAUAGAAACAAAAAAAACAAUUGUUUUAAAUUGGGUCCCCACUCAUUGUCUGUUUAUCACUUGAUGAAAAUAAAACAGAGAGGAAACAUAAACCCGAUCUUGACGAAAGGAAAAAUCCAACGUAACGUUAUAUUAAAUUUCACGGGAUUUACGUUGUUUUUUAACCUUUUCUUAAGAUUUUAUUAGAUUUGUUAAAUAUUUAAAUUAAUUAAAUAAAAGGUUGAAAGAGUUUUAAGACAAAACCUGUUUAACUUACCAAGAAAAGCGGAAGCGUUGACUGGUGUUGAUGUCUUGGGAUGGACCUUAGCGAACCAAGUGGGGACCACUCUUGACCGUCCGAUGACGCACAUGUACCGAGCCUGACCCAACAUCGCCACCAACAACGACGUCAGUAUCCCAAAACUUGCUCCAAUCCCAACCACUUUCGUCAACCAUUCCCAACCUUCCGAUUUGCUAAACGCAGCCGCGUACGGUGCUUCAGGAUCUAUCUGCUUACACACACACACUUGAUCAUUACCGUCAAAUCAAUUUUACAAAAUGAAAUUAUUUAUUUUUCAACGGACCAGAUCGUAAGGGAGGAGCAUGGACAUGGAGAUAGCCAUUAAGCAGUAAAGUACAAUAACGAUAGCGACCGAGCCGGAUAUUCCCAUGGGGAUGUCUUUGACCGGGUCUCUCACUUCUUCAGCCAUCGUCGAAACGGCGUCGUAUCCUAUAUAACUCAAGUAAACCAUCGCCGCUCCGUUAAACACACCCGAAGCUCCGAAAGGGAAGAACCCGGACGGAUUCUCCGGGUUAGCGGGUCGGGUUAAAUUCUUCUUGUCUCCUUUCCAAAACCCCAUCACGAUCACGAACACGAUGAAUGCAAUGUGUAACGCCGUUAACACCAUAUUCACCUUCGAACUCUCCCUCGUGCUGUAGCAGAUGAUGAACGUGACGGCGAGGACGACGAGAACGGCGACGGGAUCAAUUUCGUUGAAUCCGUUAGGGAGACCGGAGACGACGAAUCUCCACUCGGACGUGGAUAGUCCGAAUGCGGAUCCGAGAUAAGCCGUGAAUCCUCUCGAAACGGCGGCGUUUGACAUGACGUAGUCCAUUAUAAGAUUCGCUCCGGUUAUAAACGCCGGGAACUCGCCUGUAACGGAAAAAAACGGUUACGGAUUUUGAAUUUUAACGGUGACGGAGGUUUUUGAGAGUGUACACUGACCGAAUGUGAUACGGAUGUAGCUGAAGGCGCCGCCGGCGACGGGGAGGUGAACGGCGAACUCGGUGUAACAGAAGGCGGAGAGGAGAGCGCAGAGGCCGGCGAUGGCGUAAGAGACGACGAUCGAGGGACCGGCGAGGAGUCGGCUAGCGCGGCCGGUGGUGACGAAGACGCCGGCGCCGAUCAUGCCUCCGAUUCCGAGUCCGACGAGGUCGUACCAGCGGAGAGUGCGGCGCAUCUGCUCGCCGGAGACGGCGCGGACGCGGCUCAUCUCGUCGUACGAGGUGGAGACGGAGAUAGCGCGGCGGGAAAAGCGGGAGGGAGUGUGGGAGAGAGAGUUGAGGUAGACGCGGAGGCUGGAGAAGGAGGUGUCUCCGCCGUGGUUGCGGUAAUGGGCCUCCAUUGCGGGUUCGAAUCGGGUCGGGUCGAGAUGAAUCGGAUUUACAGAGAGGUUGAGAGUAGUUUGAAAGAGGUGGUUUUAUAAUGGAGAUGAUAGAGUUCAGUGGCUUUUUUGUGUAAAUACGACAAACUUUAGGGACACUGAUUAGUCAAUAGUAUAUUAAAAUUAUAUUCACAAAUGAUCACAUAAGCAUAGAUUAAAAUAAACAAAUCAGGUAAGCAUAUAGUCUACAAAGAUACUAACCCAAAAAAGAUUUGUAAUCUGUUAGGUUUAGCAACUUUUAUUUAUAUUAUUAAAACAUGAUCACUAUUUAGCCUUAGUUUUGAUUUGUUGGAUGAUGUUACUAAAUUCAAAACCUUAUAUUAAUUAUGUAUGUUAAAAUGUUGCCUAACAAUUUAAUUAUAUUUAACUAAAUAUUUAAAUAUUUCAAAAAUAAAAUAAAAUAUAUAAAUUCACACUGAUUUUUAGAUGUAAUCUAAUAAUAUCCUGCUAUAUAUUUUUAUAAAGACAUUAUAAAUAUCCAAAUAAUUAGAUUUUGUAAUUAUUAUUAAUUAUUAUUAUGAAUUUAUAUUAAUUUAAAUUCUACUUAUAUACACAAUAUAAAUUUUAUAAUAUUAUAUGUAUAUAUAUUAUACAAUUAAAUAUUAAAUUAAAUAAUAUAUAUAUAUAUACACAUAAUAACAUUAUUGUGUAUAUAUAUAAUGUUAUAACAAUAUAAUUUAAUUUAUAAAAGUAAAUAUUAAAUAAAAUAUAAUUUAUCAUAAUUUAUAAAAUAAAACUGUAGAUAUUAUUACUUUAUAAAAUAAAUAUCUACACUUAAUUAAUAAUAUUGUGUAUUAUAAUCGAACAUGUUACAGUUGAUUUCUUUUACGAUUAUAGAUUUUUAUAGGUCGUCAAUUAUGCAAUAUGUUAAUUACAUAUGAUAAAGUUUUAACAAUAUAUUAAAUUUUUAAUAAAUUUGACCAGUGCAACUAUUUUAAGAAAUGUACUAGUCCGUUUAAAAUAAAUAAAUUAUUAUAUAGUUUUUAAAAUGAUUAUUAUGUAGUUGUAGUUAUUUUAACUUUAAUUUGAUUAUAGAAUACUAAAACACACAAACAAAAUAUUUUAUGAAUAAUGUUAUUCUGUAAAAUAAAAAUAUUUUAAAUCAAUGCAGUACAUAUUAAAUUUACAAUGAAUUUUUCUUACAAGUGAGAUAUCUCUUAAAUUUUUAUGAUAUUGUAUUACAAUACAUGUUACUAGACUUUGAAAGCGCGGGUUUAUUUACGAAAUUAAAUAAAUUAUUUUUAUAUAAUUUAUAUAUAAUAUAAUGUAUAAGUUUGAAUACAUUUAUCCGGAUGCACUAAACCGUAUCCCACUGGAAAAAAAACUAAAAUUAAGCUGAAUUUUAUAAAACCAAGCAUAUCAUAUAUAUUUGGAACCGAAAAAUAGAAACCGAAUUGAAAACCAAAUGAAUACUUAAAAUUUUAAAAUACAAAUUAUCUACCUACAAAUAUUAAUUAUAUUUAAUUUCUAAAUAAUCAAAUAUCCUAAAAUACUAUUUAUAAACCAAAUUAUGCAAAAAAAUUAAUGACUUGAAUAUUUUUUAUUCAAAUAAUUAAUAGUUAAGUAUUUAUCCUUUUUUUUCAAACAACCUAAACUACCCGAUUUAAAAUGCAAGAUAUUUUACAUUUGUGAAAAUUCAAUAAAACGUAUCAUAUGCAUUGUUAGAAUUUGUAAAAUAAAUAAAUAUGUUCUAUUUAAACCAGUUUUCUAUUACUAAUUCCAUUUAAAUCUCAUGCCUAUAAAUUCUUGCAAUAUAUUUCUUUUGUAAGUAUUCAAUAUUAAAUUUAAGUGACUACCAUAUUUCAAAAUACAACUAAUUUAUACAAGUGUUGCAAUUUAAUUGACUAAAAGAGUUAUUAAUUCUAUGAAAUAAAUACAUUGAACUUUCAAUAGUAUUAUAUAGUAACAUGGUAAGUAACUAAAUGAGUGAAAAAAAAUACAAGAGAAAGAAAUUACAAUAAAGAAUUGUACACAAUAAAUCAAUAUUUGUUAACAGUUAGGCAUCGUCCAGACCCCCGAAUAAUCCGCCUAAUCGUUAGUCGUCUAUUUAGGUAAAAACUUUAAUGGUAUAAAUUUUUUCCUUGCUGUAAAUUCUUGAAAUAUAUUAAUUUUGUAUGUAUUCAAUAUUAAAUUUUAUUGACUAUCACAAUUCAAAAUACAACUAAUUAAUACAUGUGUCACAAUUUAAUUGAUUAAAAGCAUCAUUAAUGCUAAAUACAUUGAACUUUCAAUGGUAUUAUAUAAUAAUAUGGUAGGUUAUUUAACGAGAGGAAAGAAAUUCAAGAGAAGAAAUUAUAAUAAAGAGACUGUACACAACAUAGCAAUGUAAAGAACUCACCAAAUUAGAGAGAAGAUAAGCCUUAUAUAUAUUUUAUUUGAGCUGGUUAUUCAUGACAUGCAUAAUAUAAUUCUCCAAAACUCACAAUACCUCUCGACUUCGUGAUUUCUUAUUCUGUUUUGGCAAUUAUGGCUGCGAAUUCAUGGACACAAGAAGAGAACGAGCAGUUCAAGGAUGCAGUGCAGAGGUUCUCUGCGUUUUUUCCCGAUCGGUUCGAGUGUAUAGCCCAGCGUCUACAGAAAUCGGUGGUCGAUGUUAAGGAGCAUUACCAGGAAAUGGUCGAUGAUCUUCUAGAGAUCAGAUCGAGUCAAAUAGCUUUAUCUAAUGGGAUGUUCGAUGCAGUUGAGCCGAGUUGGUGCCGGAUCGAGAAACCUAUAUGGGACAUAGAGGAACAUGAGUAAGUAUACAAUAUAAUGAGUAAAGGUUUUCCAUAGCUGAUGAAAUCUACAUUUUCAUGCACGUAUGAGUUUAUAUAUUAUAUCAUAAUGUCGAUAGAGUAUAUAAUGGUGUUAUUUCGUGGAUCUAUGUCUGGAAUCAAUAAGACUAACACAUUCUCUUAUUAGCUGCUACGAAAUUCGCGUAGUGAUAAAAUGUUUUUUUUUCUUUUUUUCACAGCGUAGUGAUAAGAUGUUAAUAGAUGUUUUGUGGCCAUAAGUAUUUUUUUCUUUUAAUAUCACUAGAGAUUUUGCCCGGGCUACGCCCGGGUAUAUUCAAAUAAUUUUAUAUUUAAUAUUUAUAUUACAAUAUAUUACUUCGAUGUUAUAAGAGUAUAAAUAGAAAUUGAAUUAGAAAUCAGUAAAACUUACAAUUUAUUUUUUUACUAUCUAAAAUAUGUAUGGGAUGGUAAACAAAUGCAAAAUUAAUACAAAAUUUGUUAAACUGUAGUUAUUAUCCAAAGUAUCUUUUCUGACAUAUUUAUGUUAUUAAGUAAAUAUAUUAUUAAUCUCCACAUCACAUAUUUCUUUGUAUAUGUAUUAUUUAUUUCAUAUUUAUAUGUUAUUUAUAUCUUAUUUAAUAUUUUAUUAUAUAUUUUUAUGAUAAUAAUCUAUUUUUUCAAUUUUAAAGUAAAGCUAAUUUAAAUACUCAUUGCUUUAAAUAAGACAACUUUAAAAAAAUUUGUAUGUGUUAAAUACACUGAAAAUGUUAAAUAUAAUAUUAUUUAUCUAUAAAUUUUUAAUGUUAAAUAUAAUAUUAUUUAUCUAUAAAUUUUUAAUGCUAAAUAUAAUAUAUAUAAAUAAUUAAUUUUACUUUUGCUAUAUUAUAUCCUUUAUUUUUGUUAUAUAAUAUUUGAAAAAUUAGGAUGAAAUAUUUUGAAUUUGCGUUUUGUUCUAACAUCAUUAUUUAUAUUUAGUAUAUAUUUUAGAUGUAAAAAAAUUGAAGUUUCUAUUAAUAUUUUAGUAAUCAUGUCUAACUCUUUAUUAAAAGUUCAAAAUAUUAUAAAAAAAUAUUUUUUUAAAAAACUUUCUCUUAUUUUAUGUAUCAUAUAUUUAUCUAUACAUCAUCUGAUUUAAUUAAAUAAUUUAAUAUAUAUAUAUAUGUAUAUAUAUAAAUAUGUUCAUAAAAAAUCAUAAAAUCUGUAAUCAGUUUGGAUAUUUAAAUAUGUAAAUUUAUGCCAAAAAGUGAUUCAAUAAUUUAUGUAAUAAUGUUGAUUUAUAGAUAAAUUUUCCUACAUAUGGGACAACUUAUGUUUGUAUGAAGCCAUGGUCAAUGCAUAGGCGAUGGAAAGUAUGGCAGCAAGUAAGAAAGCAUAGACAGGUUCCAUUGUUGAAAUUUCCGAAGCAUACCGUGCAUGUAUCGUUUUUUUUCUUCUUUAAUUGGAGGCCUAUUAGUUCUCUCAAGACUGGUGAUGAUAAGGUCGACGUCAAGUCUUAUAUUUUUGGUUGUAAUCUGUGAUGGGAAGAAUAACUUGAAGAUCAUCAGUUAUGUUAUUGUCAUCUAUUAUCAUCGGUUGUUUAUAAAUUCAUUAUGUAUUGGGUCGUCUCUUGGAUAAGCAGUUGAGUCGAGAUAUUAUAUUUCAUGGUAUGUUAAUAUAAAUUCAAUACCUUUGUUAGAGUCUUUAAAUUUAUCUUGAUUGUCGAUGAUAAAUGGUAGCUGAAAAUCAGUGAUAAAUUGGUCCAGGAUUCUUAUAUUUUUUACCUUCAUCAAUUUUAAACGAACUAUUAGCUUGGUUUUAUGGCUUCACUAAAAUUUUGGAAAAGCAUAGUAAUAAGAUGUGAUUCUUUUUUUAUAAACUAUAAUCGAGGUAAGUGCAUUGCUCUCGCAAUUACAAAAUAGUUACAGAACUAAAAUCAUGAAUCUUGGGAAUACGGCAUGUAACUUCUCCUAACCUAGUACUAUGCUUUGUAUAAAUUUAACUUAGUUUUGGCUCUAUAGUAAAAUAUCGGAUUUAUCUUUAUUGACAUAGAUAACAAAAUAGAAUUUGCAUAAGUCAUGCAUCUAUUAGGAAUUUGAGAGGUACCAUGUAGUCAGAAAAUGGCUUACAAUAGAAGUCUAAGGGCUUAUGCAUUAUGUUUCUGCUCUUGGCAGCACCCGUAAAUCCCACUGUACAACAACGACCUGUGAAAAUUUACGACCAAACUUCCAAUGUACCUUGGCGAGUAAGAUUUCCCACUUGGACCAGGGUCCUUGAGAUCAUCAAUGUACUUCCUCCAGACUAUCGUACCACAUCUUUCCUUUGCUGAAAGAGUUUAUUUUCCUGAUUUUGGGGAUCUAGAUGUUCUCUUGCGUGAGGACAAACUCGCCGUACAUUGCAGACGUCUUUCCCUAGAAUAAGAACAAAGAUAACUGAGCUCGAGUAUAUACAGUAGCCGGCUGCUAGCAAGUUGUGCCCAGGUUGUCACGCGUUUAUUAUAUGUAUUUUUUCUUCUGACCAAAGCUGCAAGGAACAUACAGCAGUAGACCAACAACAUUAUGAACACUGUGUAUCUUUUCUGAGUGGCCAUGUGGAAAGUGAAAGGGAGAGUAGUUCAUUUACAGUGGAAAUAUCAUUGGACUCGUAGGGGCUGUAGACACCAAUUAUGGAACCGGUGGAAACUCCAGCGAUGAUGUUGGAGGAACCGUCCAACUAUGAAGUUGUCGGAGCAAUUAUUUAACAUGAGCAAUCAGAAAGAAUCAGAUCAAGAACUCAAGCUCCAAGAUGGAUUUCUCAUCUCCUACUUCCCUAUAGAAGAACCAUUUGUCAAUUAGUAUCAGAUGAUUCCCAGAUUUAGACAACACAACACACCCUCAAAAUAUUAUUAACAAAAAACCAUUUUUCCUUCGAACCCAAACGUUUGAAACUUUGGGUGAAGGCGGUUGGCUUCUUCGUCAAACACACUGAGAUAGAGAGUUAAAUCAAGGAGCAGUUGUGAUGAUGCAAUAUCCAAACUUGUAAAACAUGUCCUCUUAAAUAUUUAACUGGUUGAAACAAUUGUUGAGUGUAUUACUACAGAGCCCUGACUUGGCCCAGAAGCCAUGAGUUUGCUGUCCAAGGUGAUUCCCAGGUCCUGCAAGAGACAGAGCCAGGAAAGUGAAGAAGAGUCAUUGAACAAAUAUUCUAAAGCUGCAACUUUAGGUAUUCAUCCAUAUAAAACGAAUGUGCAUAGCUAUUAAAAGUGAACCAGGAACCAACAUAAAUAUAGCGUAGAGAUUUUCAUGUACCUGAUCGAUGCAAAAGUUAACUAAAACUUUUGUGAAACGAAGACUACUCCAGCAGCUUGCUGGUAACUCUUUGGAGCAACCCUUUGCAUAUUAACCUCGUGGAAGCAUGACCAUAGGUUUUUAAGAGUUUUCAAUAUCUCAUUAAAAACACUGCACGUUUUAGCCGUUGAUGCGUAUAUAAGGUGGUUAUAUAUUGAUUUCAUUUCUUUGACCAUGAAGGAAGUUUAAAUCUAAAACAAUAAAGUAUUAGGCUAUGUAUAUCACCUACGUGUAUAACCAUCAUCAUAAGCUUACCCAUCAUCUGUUUUACUUGAAGGCACGUGAUUGUGGAAUCACCUGCACAGAAAGAAAGAAGGUGUCUCGGGUAAGAAGAAGCCAAUGAUGAUCCUUAUGAAGUUAUAAGCAUCACAUCACAUAGAACAUGAUAAAACCCAAAAAAAAAAAAAAUUAAACAUGACAAAGCCUACAAACGUUGUAAGAAAAGUAAGUUGACUCAAAAGUACCAUCAUCAGGUUAAGCCAUAGAUUAGAUUGGAAGUUUAACGGUGAUGAUUAAAACAUACUGACAGAAAGACCAAGUUGUCUCAUGCACCUGCUGUGGAUUUCAACGUAUUCUUCAUAAGACUGCAAAAACAAACAAAAAAAUAAGCACAAGACUUUGUCAAAGAUUAGACAAAAAACAUCACUUCAAAACUGGAGCUCAUGAUGCUUCUCAAGAAACAUAAGAAAGCCCCUUUUGAUGCAAAACUUUAGCUAAACCCUGAGAUAUAGUUGAAUAUGGAUCAGAUAUAUCCCGGAUGCUUAAAAAAAAAAACACUAUAAACUUUUGCUACAUUGGCUCUCGAAAGGCAAACCCCAUGAGUUGGAUCGUAAAUACUUUUCUUUCUCCCGGAAAUAUUCUGAGGCUACACCAUAUCCUCUCUGCUAUGCAACAUGGAAUCUGCUGAGGUCAUCCUGGUUUGAGUAGACCAUAGAAGGGUAGGCAUCCGUGUAUGGCCCCACAUAUUGUUAUUGUACUCUUCGUCUCCUGAGAAAGAUGGAGGUUCAACGGGAGAAAACAAAACAAAAGUUUAAUUGAGCCUCAGAGAACUAAAUAACUACAUAACAACUUCGAUUUAAAAAAAGGCAAACCUGCUUCGGCAGGCAGACAGGAAUCGUAAAAAGUUAAAAAAAUUUCAUACUUCCAAGAAACGCAGAAGAUUGCCUUACUACCGUAUGUGUAAUGAAUCAGAAGGGUUGAAUCUGGUGAAGAGUGAGAUUCUGAGUUUUAUGCAACCCUUUUAUAAUUGAACAGAUUAAAGAAAUUAAGAAAGGGUAACUUAAAUCGACUCCAUGGAAGAGAGUUAAAGGCGAAUCUUAAUAAUGGUUUCAAUGAAUACAAAAUAUAACACCUCAAUUACGUCAGAGCCGGUGGAGUUUCAAGCAGAUGAAGCGCGAUACGGGCUUCUCGAUUCUGAACACUAUCGGGCUGGUGAAACGCGAGGCCCAAACGACAUAGGAGAAGCGGCUGACGUGGCGGAAAUCUGAACUCCUAUUGGUCGAUUUUAUUUGGGGACGUGGACAGCCUCCCUAUUCCUCAUAUAACCCUUUUAGUAUUAGUUAGAUUUGAAUCAGUUAUGUCAUUAAAUAAUCGCAUGGUGGUGAAACAUGGUUGAAAGUGGAUUGAUAUCAUACUCAUAAUUUGAAUCUGUAAAAAAUAACACAAUGCAGAUGGUUCCUGAUCGGGUUAGAGCGGUUUGGGAGAAACUGUGACAAAAUAGCGGUCUUAUUGGUUACCAAAACCCCGAUGCAAGUGGCUAUCUAUGCACGUAACUUCUUUUAUUGGCACAACUCAAAGAACAAUGUCUUGAAGCGGCGGAGAACCAUGGACAUAACUAUGGGGGACAUCAGAGUGGACUCAUCUGGCCAACACAACAGAAUGAGGGGAAUCAAUAGGGACUCAACUGGCCAAGAAGAGAGACCUAUGGGGGGCGUCAAUGUGGGACUCAACUGGUCAACAAGAGAGCCUAGUUCCUUCGCAGCCGCACGACAACAAUUGGGCUAGUCGCGCUGGAAACCGGUCAGGAUGCUAGCAUUUCUGAUUCUGAAUCAACAAGAACAUACAAUUUCGUUGUGAAACUAUUUAAAGCUCAAGGACUUUUAAUGCAUUUUGAAUUUUGUUUUGCAAUUUUUUUCUUUUAUAUAAGCCUCCAUGGUCAUAUAUUUCUGAUUGUUGAAUCCGAAUUCCGUUUAUCUACUAAAUAUAAUUCGAGGUUAAAAAACAAAGACGAAAGGGAGUAUAAUAGGUGGGUUAGAUACUAAAUAAAAUAUAAUUGGGGUCUAUUUACUAAAUUAAAGAAAACACGAGGGUGAAUCUUGUUAUUUCCCCUAUUAAAAUCACAAUAAAUCCUAGAGAGAAAAAAAAGAGAAAACCCUCGAGAGAUAUCAGGUUCCCUUUGUUUUUUUUGAGAUCAGAGUUUUCCCAACAACUUUCUUGUUGCUUCUAUCGCAGUCCUUCUUGAGAAACCGCUUGCAAAUAUUAACCUUAUCGAAUCGGGUCGAUGUCCUAUUACAAAUUAUGCGGAUGGGAGCCCAUCUCAGACCAAAUAUAUGGAGAAAGAAAAAAAGAGAGGGGAAAUUUAGUUUGUUUUGGUUAGGUUAGGAGAAAGUUGAUAAACGGAUGAUGAACUGUUAGGGUUUUAUUGGUUAAGCACAUCAGCAUGGAUAGAAUACAACAUAUUUUGCAACUCAUUUAGUUUAGAUUACGAUCUUCUAUAUAUAUUAUAUAGUUCCUGGUUUUGUGUAACCUUUAUGGCUAUAUAUAAGUCAUAGUUGAAUGUUAAGAGAGAAACUUCAAUAACUUUUAUACAUUGAUAUCAAACUUGGUCAUGGGCUUCGGUUGAUUGUUUCGAUGAUAUUUCAGGCUUUUUCUGGAGGGACUAGCGAAAUAUGGGAGAGGAGAUUGGAAGAACAUAUCGAGAAAGAGUGUGAAGACAAGGNNNNNNNNNNNNNNNNNNNNNNNNNNNAAAGAGUGUGAAGACAAGGACCCUAACCCAAGUCGCAAGCCAUGCACAAAAGUAUUUCCUGAGGCAAGAGGCCCAGAAGAAGGCAAAGAAGCGCUCCAGUAUCCAUGACAUAAAUUCGAUAGAUCAUGCUGCUAACAAUGUACCAGCACCUCCAUCCGACUUGGACUCUACGAUGGGCCAGCCACCUUCUGAUCAGCAGGUGCCUCAAGACCAUUAUCAUUCCGACGAGGACUAUUGGACUUCGGUGAUGAAUAUGUAAAUUCCAAACUACGCUAACUUUUUUUAUUAAUUGGCUUUUGGUUCUUAGUUUUUUUUUCUUCUUCUUUUUGUACAUCUAAGUUAUUAAACAAUCCUAAUUUGUUUAUAGCCUUUGUUACUUUUGUCUAACCAGAAUUUUGGAAGCCACACUAGUCAUGUUCAUUCUUGAGUGUGCUUAGAAAAUCUUGAUGUUGAAAUAUAGGAUCAAGAACACUUUCGAACGGAUGUAAUCUCUACUCUGUAAAUAUCACAUAAACUACCCUCAAGCGAUGAUAGAGGAAACUUAUUUCUUGUUUGAUAACUACUCAAGGAUUUUGAUACAGGCAUGCAGCCCGUGAUAAUCCAAGAAAUAAGUUUCCUCUUUCAUCAAAGUCUUCCAUUUACUAGUUUAUUUUCAACAGUCUUCCAUUUUACUAGUUUGAUAGGAUCGUACGUAUAGUAACAAAUUUCUUGGAUACUAUCACCGGCUGUAUGUAUGUAUCAAAAUCCUUGAGUAGUUAUCGAACGAUAAAGGAUCAAACUAGUAAUUUUUCUUAUAUCUUUUCCAACACAACGACACAUAUACAUAAAUAUGUUAGUACUUAAGUAAUUCCAUAUUAAUAAUUAACGAGAUAACUAGCCGAACUAGAGUUUUCAUAUGUCAUUUUGGCUUUUGAAUCGAAGAGUACGUGAUAGGAGAGGCUAAAUAGAAUCUGUAUAUUGUUUGGAGUUUUAUUCAAAAACAGGAAUGUCAUUUUGACUUAUAAAAUUUGACUUAAAUGAAAACCAUUUUGUAUGAUAUGGUUAGAUCCGGUUCUGUACAAAUCUAAUCUAUGUUGGCUUGUUUUUCAGUAUACACUUAAACCAAUGUAAACCAAAAUAACAUUUCAGUAUAAACUGAAUUUGUAGUAAAUUGAAUGUGACAACAUGUUCAAAAAUGUAAGCGGUAUCUAGGCGCUUCUUUACGCAGUAAAACAGUUAUAGCUGCAACGUUUUUUUAAAUCUAAUUUAUGCUAUUCAAAUCGGUUUAAAUUAUUUAAAAUCAGUUCAAUUUGUUUAAAUCCAUCUAAUCGAUUGUACAUUUGUUUAGUCAAACAACAAUGCUAGUGCAAAUCCAUAAAUUUGUUUAAUCUUUUUAUUUGUAUAUGUUAUUUUAAUAAUUCAUCAAAAUAAUUUUAUAAUAAAAAAAAAAAAAACUAAGAUAUCUAAUUAAAUUAUAAAAUAUAUCAAUAUUUGUUAAUGCCUACUUACCUAGGCCUAAUCCUGAAUAAUUCGUUUAAUUUCUAGUCUUCUUUCAUUUAAGUAAAAAAUCUUAAUGGUAUAUAUUUUUUUCCCUGCUAUAUUUUUUGCAAUAUAUUUAAUUUGCAAGUAUUCAAUACCAAAAUUUAAGUGACUACCAUAUCUCAAAAUAGAAUUAAUUUAUACAUGUGUCGCAAUUUAAUUGAUUAAAAGUAUCAUUAAUGCUAUUAAAUAAAUACAUUGAACUUUGAAUAGUAUUAUAUAGUAACAUGGUAGGUUACAUGAGUGGAAAAAAAUUCAAGAGAUUGUACACAACAUAGCAAAGUAAAGAACUUACCAAAAUUAGAGAGAAGACCCAUAAGCCUAAUAUAAAUGUUAGUUGAGUUGGUUAUUCAUGACAUGCAUAAUAUAAUUUCUUCAAAACUCACAAUAUUUCCUCUCGACUUCGUGAUUUCUUAAUCUGUUUUGGCAAUUAUGGCUGCGAAUUCAUGGACAAAUGAAGAGAACGAGCAGUUCAAGAACGCAUUGCAAGUGUUCUCUGCGUUUUCACCCAAUCGGUUUGAGCUUAUAGCCCAAUUUCUAGGGAAAUCGGUGGUCGAUGUUAAGGAGCAUUACCAGGAAAUGGUCGAUGAUCUUCUAGAGAUCAGAUCGAGUCAAUUAGCUUUAUCUAAUGGGAUGUUUGAUGCAGUUGAGCUGUGCCAGAUCGAGAAACCUAUAUGGGACAAAGAAGAACAUGAGUAAGUAUACAACAUAAUGAAUAAAGGUUUUCCAUAUUUGAUAAAGUCUACAUUUUCAUGCUGAUUAUAUUAUAACAUCGAUAAAGAGUAUAUAGUGGUGUUAUUUCGUGGAUCUAUGUUUGGAAUAAAUACGAAUAACACAUUCUCUUCUUAGUUACUACGAAAUUCGCAUAGUGAUAACAUAUUAAUCAUAGAUGGUUUGUGGCUAUAAGUUUUUUUUAAUCUCAUUUGUAUCAAUUAUGUCAUUAAAUAAUUGCAUGGUGGUGAAACAUGAUUGAAAACGGAUUGAUCUCACACUCAUAACGAAAUUGAAUCUGUAAAAAAAUAACACAAUGCAGAUGGUUCCUGAUUGGGUUAGGGCGGUUUGGGAGAAAUUGUAACAAAAUAGCGGUCUUAGUGGUUACCAAAACCCCGAUGCAAGUGGCGAUCUAUGCACAGAACUUCUUCAAUUGGCACAACUCACAGAACAAUGUAGUGAAGCGGCGGAGAACCGUGGACAUAACUAUGGGGGACAUCAGAGUGGACUCAACUGGCCAACAAGGGAGAACUAUGGGGGGCAUCAAUGUGGGACUCAACUGGCCAACAAUACAAGAGAACCUAGUUCCUUUGCAGCCGCAACGACAACAAGGGCCAGUUGCGCUGGAAACCGGUCAGGAUGCUAACAUUUCUGAUUCUGAAUCGAAUAAUCUUCCAUGAGCGUAAACCAGAACAUAAAAUUUCAUUGUGGAACUAUUUAAAACUAAAGGACUUUUAAAGCAUAUUGGAUUUUAUUUUGCGAUUUUUUUCCUUUUAUAUAAACCUAUGGUUAUAUAUUUCUGAUUGUUGAAUUUGAAUUCUGUUUAUCAUAAUAUAAUUUGAGGUUAAAAAACAAAGACCGAAGGGAGUAUAAUUAAUUUGGGGGGGAGGGGGGGGUUAGAUACUAAUAUAAUAUAUUUGGGGUCUAUUCACUAAAUUAAAGAAAAACGAGGGUGAAUCUUGUGAUUUCCCCUAUUAUUUUCUCUAUAAAUCCUAGAGAAAAGUGUGAAAACCCUCGAGAGAUAUCAGGUUCCUUUUGUUUUGUGAGAUAAGAGCUUUCCUAAACAACUUGGUCGUUGCUUCUAACAUAUCUUAUGGGUUCGAAGCAGUGGACGAGGUAUGAGGACAAACUGUUUGAGAGUCUUCUGUUGAAGUUCCCAGAAAAUACUCCCAAUAGGUUUGAGGCUAUCGCCGAACAUCUUAAUGUACCGCUUGAAGAGGUGAAGCACUACUACAAAGCUUUGGUCCACGAUAUUAACCUUAUCGAAUCGGAUCAAUAUCCUACUACUAAUUAUCCAGAUGGGAUCCCAUCCCAGACCAAACAUAUGGAGAAAGAAAAAAAGAGGGGAAAACCUUGGACAGAAGAGGAACACAGGUUAGUCUAGACACUGAUGAAUUAGGGUUUAUGUUGAUUGGGGGAAAGCAUGAAUUAACUAUUUAAACUUUUUAUUGGGGUGAUAAUUUAGGUUUUUUUUUUGUUAGGUUAGGAGAAAGUUUAUAAACGGAUGAUGAACUGUUAUAGGGUUUUAUUGGUUAGGUAAUCACAUCAGAAUAUACCAUAAUUUGUUACUCAUUUAGUUUAAAUUAUGAUCUUGUAUUAGAUUAUAUGGUUCCUGAUUUUGUCCAACCUUUAUAGCUACAUACAUAAAUCAUAGUUGAAUGUUAAGAGAAAACUUCAAUAACUUUUAUACAUUGUUGGUUUAUUGUUUUGAUGAUAUUUCAGGCUUUUUCUGGAGGGGCUAGAUAAAUAUGGGAAAGGAGAUUGGAAGAACAUAUCGAGAAAGAUUGUGAUGACAAAGACCCCAAUGCAAGUCGCAAGCCAUGCACAAAAGUAUAUCCUGAGGCAAGAGGUCAAGGAGAAGGCAAAGAAACGCUCCAGUAUCCAUGACAUAACUUUGAUAGAUCAUGCUGCUAACAAUGUAACCGCACCUCGAUCCGACUUGGACUCUACGAUGGGCCAGCCACCUUCUGAUCAGCAGGUGCCUCAAGACCAUCAUCAUUCCGACGAAGACUAUUUGAUUGAGAAGACGUAUACGUAAAUUCCAAACUAUAAAAUCUUUUUUAUUAGUUGGCUUUUGCUUCUUAGUUUUUUUCUUCUUCUUUUUGUACAUCUAGUUAUUAAACAAUCCAAAUUUGUUUAUAGCCUUUUUUACUUUUGUCUAACCAGAAUUUUCGAAGGCACACUAGUCUUGUUCAUUCUUGAGUGUGUGCUUAGAAAAUCUUGAUUAAGCGUAGUACUAGUAACACUAACUAAAUGAUCAAUGGUUAUAUUUAGACAAUGUGAAAGGCUCUUAGAGCAGCAUUAACGCAAAGCAGAAGAGGAAAAAGAGGUGGGUUUUCUGAUUUUUGUGGACCCUCCACCUCUUACAAAAAGAGUCAGCGAUAAUGCUGCUCUUAUUGUUGUUGGGGACUAGUAACAAAUUGCCCAUUCACCUUUAGUCAACCAUUUGACUUGCCAAUGAAUUUUUGACCGUGCUUGUUGCUACCUUUUCUUUUCUUAUAACCUUUCAAAUCUUCAGUUUUCUCGUUUUCUGUACAUAGAGCUCUUGAGUAACAGAAUCUCAUCGUUAUUCCCUUCUAUCGGUCCUUCAACUAUCUCAACUCUGAUGUGAUCACGAUCAAUCUUUCUUUCUGUAAGGUUUUCAAAAUUUUCGGAUGGAUCCAAAACAAUGAUGGCUAGGUCCUUCCACGUAUUCAAUCCAGUGAUCAAAAUAAUCUUUUUGAAGCAUUAUCAGAAGGAUUUUUAGCUGAUCGGUCUACCUGACCACUUGUUCUAGGAUUAACUUCUUCACGCUGAGAUUUCUGACUGUUUAUUGCUAGAUCAUUCGAGGUGGUCAACACAGGCACAGACACCGUUGUUAAUAAAAUUCCCCAUGUGACUAAUCAUGACUAUUGAUAUUAUGUUCUAUCUCAGAAUGCUUUAAACCUAUUGUCUUUACAUCCAUUUGUCGUACCAUUACAUAUAGACUCCAAAUGCUUCAAACUUCCGUUCUUACAAACACGUUUCUAAAAAAUCUUCCAAAGUCAAGAGCAUGAAUGUCAUAUAACUCAGUUUUUUGCCACCGUCGGAGCCAUUUGAUGUGGAUAUAAUAAAGGAGCAAAAAGUGACAGUGAAAGGCAACGUGCAGCGCAGCCAGACGCAGUUGUGCAAACGGAAAAAAACAGGAAAUAAAUAGUCUUUCUGGGACACAGGCUGAAACAGCCAAGGCCUAAAGGAGAAACAGAGCAUUUCAUGUGACUAUUUUUUAAUAAAAUAUGCAUGGAAUCCUUUUUAUUUCUUCUAUUUCUGUGACUUGUAGCUGAGCAUUUCUCUGUGGAGCUAAAUUAUUUUAGUCAUUGAAGUGCUAUGGACAUUUUUUUCUUUUGGUAAAAUGCUAUGGACAUUUUUUAACGAGGCUUAUGGUAAUUUCCCCCCUGGACAUGCUAAAUCGGGCAUUACCAAGCCUAAGGAUUAGAGGAUGGGAUGACCAAAGACCGUCGUUCAUGUUGUUUAGAGAGUUUAAGGACAGGAUCAAUCUCAUUGUUCUUUUCAUUAUCCAAAGAUUUGGUGUUAUUUCCCUAUAGCGUAAGAAGAAUUUUUCUUAGCCUCUCGAACGUUUAUUGAUUUGAGGAAAUGCAAUCUCCUCAAAAUCCUAUGAUACAGAGAUUUGAGUGUAGCAUCUUAGUUCGAACUGAUUCACAAGUUCAUACACAACUCAUGAACGAUUCCAUAGUACUUGUGGUCUUUCCUCAGGCAAUUGCAGCUUCCUCAACCCAUGCAAUGCCUAGAGAGCCACGUUGUUUGUAUCUUUCCAAACAACUCUAAAUGUAUACAAGCUCUACAGACUACAUGAGCUUCCAUGUACUCAUAAAUGCUUGUGCCCCACACAUGCAUGAAUCUGAAAUACACGUGCUGGGUCCAUGCAAGGAUUGGACUAAAACGAUGCCAGCAGUCAUGAAGUUGAUGAUCAGUAAGAACUUCGUCAGAUGAAACAUCAACGUUGCCAUUGCCAAAUAUUCUUUUCAGUAUGGAGAAAGAUAAUGGCUCUGCUUCUUCAUACGAAGAGCAGACAAGGUAAUUUUCUCAUGGAAAGAAAACACAGAGGAUCCCUCUGGACUAAAGUUCCACUCAACUAGGUCCCAGGACAUGGGAUGCAAUCAGAAAUAGAGCAGGAAAACAGGAGUGGACGUCAAACAUUUGGCUUAAAGGGUCUGUCCCGAGACACUCUUUUAAUUUCUAGAUUGAUUCUCCUCGAUAGAUUACCAACAAGGCAAAGGCUUGCUAGCUGAGGUAUCUUGAUUUAUGAUUCUUGCUGCCUAUGUGACAUGGUCCAGGAGUCAAGAGACCACUUAAGUUACUUCUUCGCUGUGAGAUCAGUGAAAGCAUCUGGAAAAUGUCCCUUCAUAGGCUAGGUGACACAGGUCCUUUUUUCCAUACUUGGACUUCUUUUAUGCAUUGGCUCUCCCACAGAGAUUCAUCUUUGCCCACUCCUGGUUAAAAGGCUUGUGGGACAAGCUGUUGUGUAUGCGUUGUGGACAGAACGCAACCGAAGACUCCAUGACGGUAUAUAUUGCUACCACUCCAACGGCAAUAUACAAGCAAAUCGACAGAUUUAUAUAAGGGACGCUAUCCUAGGCAAUAGAAGACGGAAACAUUUCCAUCCUCUUAUGCAACACUGGCUUCUUUAUGAGUAGCUGAUCUAAGCUUCCUAUUAGCUUCUUUUUGGAGUUUCAACCUUGUUUUUAAUGAUUUUUGCCUUGGUUCGUUCUAACAUUUUUGUAAAUUUACAAACUCUGUCUCAUAUUAUUUAUGGAAUUCACAUAUUUGGCAAAAAAGAAAGACAAAACAAAAGGUUUUGUGUUGUUUGACUAGCAUGCAUGCAUUGUACGAAUUUAUUGAUAUGUUUGACAAUAAAUGUAAAUUUUAUACUAGAAGCCAUAACUUCUUUUUCACAAAAUAAUUUUUUCGUCAUCCAUUUUGAGGUUACGUUCGCCUUGCAUGUCUCCAAAGUACUGUAAGAGAAUUAAUAGUAUUAUAUCUUGUUAAUUACUUGCUAAUUACGGAAUAUUUGUUAAAUUUUCCCUAGUCUCUUUAAUUUCUCGGCGGUUUCAGCAGAGGGGACCUCUGAUUGUAAGAGCAUCUCUAUUGGUUAGAGCCUUUAAUGGGUUCUUAAAAUUAAUUUAAUAAUUAAUUGUGUAUUUUAUGAAGUUUAGAACCUUUAUUAAUGUAAUUAGUUGUGUGAAAGUCCAAUGGGAGAACCCCUAUGAAGUUCUUAAUUUUUUUUUUUUAUAAAUUGAAUUAUUAAAAGAGAAUUUCAACACUAAUGAAGAGACCAUUAAAGCAAAGAGGUUUAGGAACAAACUUGGGAUAGAUGCAUAGAACGCGUCAUCGUAAUGAUCCUUGUUGUUCACGAGAUACGCAGCUUGUCCGCAGUACGAUAGAAGAAGACAAGGAAACACAAAUAAGGUGAAGGCGAGCUGUAUCGCUAGUAACGGGAAGUAAGAAAUGUCUGCGUAUAGAGCCUCAGUGCCUGUUAUGCUGAGAAGAAUGCCGCCGAGGGAGAUCCAACCAUCUCGCCCUCGUCUUUUGAAGUAACCACAACAAUGUCUGCAACAACAACAACAAGUAGUAAAGUUAGAAAGAACUAACUAGCAUAAAGGUGCAGUGAAUGGAGUGAUCGAGAAUGGAGGGGGAAUAGAAACUGAUUUCUUUCGCACAAACGCCGACGAAAGAGAGAGAGAGACAUUAAGGGGGUCCAAUAGAAAACCGCCACGUAAGGAUUUCUUACCAAUUCUAGUAUGCCCAAAUUAGACAGCGGUUCUCUGUUAUUUUUGAAUUUUUCAUUUUUUUUUUACUUUUGCUUAAAACUCCUAUUAGAAGACUCGCGAUGGAGUUGGUCUAAAGGAGAUGCUCUCAUGUGUCCCCAAUUCUACUUACAUUAAGAGGACUUGGGGGAUUUCCAACUCACUAAAAACCUCACAAGAACAUCAUUAUCCAGAGUUUUUAGGGCAAGGUUCUUAGGAGAAUAUGAGAAACUAUUUCUUAAUUUUUAACUAAAAAAUUAAGAAACAGUUUCUUAUAUUCCCCUGAAAACCAUGCCAUAAGAAAUCUUGGAUAAUGAAUAGCAAAAGAGAGAGAGUGUACAUCUCUCUUUAUCGCGCAGACAAACUCUUCGGGACAUGGCAAAGGGUGGUCAAAUUUGCCAUAUGUACGAAAGGGUGGUAAAAUUUUACGCAUUUCCUGCGAGCCUUGACUCAGCCAGGUUAAUUCAUAUUAAUUAUCUAGCUAGUUACUCAAAACUUUGCAUCUCACCUAUUAAUGUUAAUAUUGUUCUUUCUUUUUGGUCUAAAUAUUGUUCUUUCUUUCUUUUUCAGACUGAUACAAUCACUCUUCCCCAAGGUUACUCAUUCUAGAACCAAUUCAUGUCCUAGUAACCUUAGAGCAUGAUUAUUGGGAGGGGUUCUUAAGGUAGAGUUUUUAGCGGAAUAUAAGAACCCGUCUCUUAACUUUUAACUAAAAAAACUAAGAAUCGGUUCUUAAAAUUCUUAUUUAAGAGCCGGUUCUUAGCUUUUUUAGUUAAAAGUUAAGAGACGGGUUUUUAUAUUCCGCUAAGAACUCCACCUUAAGAACCCCCGAUAAUCAUGCUCUUAGAGCAUCAUUAUCGCACAAACCCUUAAUGGAUUUCUUAUUUAUUUAUUUUUUUUUGUUUUUGUCUGAUUAAAAAAAUAAAAAAAGAAUCAAUCGUGGGCCGCCACGUGUCAGUGGGUCCCGCGAACAGUUGAAAAAACCCACCGAAAACGUCUCUUAUUUGGCGACUUGGGCAUACGGUUUUUGUUAUUUUGUGCCCCUCUUGUACUUUUUGCUUAAGAUACCUUUUUUUUACAGGGAUAAAGAUGCUCUAAGAUGAUUUUAUUUUUUACCAACAUAAUUGGUAACCUACCCUUUUCUUGUCUUAAAAUUGUUCUUUUUGUUCACUUAUAUAUAUAUUCAUUCACUCUUGUUUUUCAGGCUCCACUCUGAGAAAGCAUCCCUUGCAUGAGAAAGGCCAAAGAUCACCAGAAAGGUUGGAUACUCUGUCAUGUAUCUUUUUUCUGAUCCUUAUCUUUGUGUUGGAUAUGUAUUUACUAUUUAGCUGUCUUGUUCUUUUUUGUGUUGGAUAUGCCAUCGCAGUGAAAGACUUGAUAUCCAAAAAAUAGGGUGGGGCACAUGCCACACCCUCUAAUACACUAACACUGGGACUGCCCCUGGUUUUGAUCUUCUUCUUUUUUUUUUCAUAUUUCCCGUGAGAACAAUGACAAGACAGAUUUGUUGGCUAAAGAGACCACUUAUGGGAAUAGUGCUUAUGAGAAACUUUUAAAACAUAUAUGGGAUUUCCCGAAUGUAUUUGAUACAUAUUCCAGAUUAGAACUCGUCUUUGAUGUUUUACAAUUUACAACCAAAUUUUAUAAUACGACUGUUAAAUAUUAUUGACUCUAAUUUACCGAAAUUGUUCGCUCAAAACAAAUAAAUAAAAUAAUAGUGAUUUUAUAAAAUCGAUACUGAAUUAAUUUAUAUUGAUAAAAAAAAAUAUAAACCAUAUAGGAAAAGGAAUGAGGAAAAAAGUCGUAUAUAUUAAUCUUGUAAGAGUGAGCAAACGAAAACCCUAAAUAACAAUUCAAGCCACCAUCUUAAGACUCACGAUGAUGAGAAAAAACACAUUAAAGAUGUCGGACCUUCCAUGUGAUUUGAUAGAGGAGAUACUUUGUCGCGUUCCGGCUACAUCUCUGAGGCAUUUACGAUCUACUUGCAAACAAUGGAACUUAUUGUUCAACAACCGGAGAUUCACAAGAAAGCACUUCGAUAAAUCCCCAAAGCAGCUUAUGACUCUCAUGUUGAACGAGUCUAUGGUUUGUUCGACGAGAGUUAAUCUCAAUGGAGUUCCAGAGGUCACAAGCGAACUUAGCCUAGUUGACCCUCUUUAUAGUAGUUUAAUAGAUCAUGAGUUCGAUAGUUAUGAAGUCUUUCACAGCGACGGCUUAUUAUUAUGCAUCAACGAAGACAACACUAGACUCGUGGUCUGGAACCCGUGUACUAGUCAAGCUAGGUGGAUCCAACCCAAAACACGUGUCAGCAGCCAUGCUCUUGGAUCCUACCAUGGUAAUAGCUAUAAAGUAUUGAGCUACCACCCUGACUUCGCAAUCUUUGAUGAUAACUCUAAUUCAUGGAAGAGUCUUGAUAUCACCCCCGACUGCACCAUAGCAGAUUCUGAACAGUUCAUGUCUUUGAAAGGAAAAACUUACUGGUUUGCUUAUGAUAAAAAAGAUGAGCGUCCCAUCAGCAUAUUCUUACUCAGUUUUGAUUAUACAAGUGAAACGUUUGAACGUCUACGUCUUCCGUGCCAGAGUUUUCUCUAUGAAACUAUGUCUAUGUCCGUUGUUAGAGAAGAGAAGCUUUCUGUGUUGUUACAGCGAGAUUAUACGUCAAGGACAGAGAUAUGGGUGACAAAUAAGAUUGGUGAGACCAAAGAAGUCUCGUGGAGCAUGUUCCUAGCACUGGAUUACUCGCCAGCUGGACUUCAUCUUCGGGAUACCGUAAGUUUUUUGGUCGAAGAGGAGAAGAAAGUCAUCGUGUGUUGUGAUAGAUACUUGGAAGAUGAAUUCCACGGCAAAAAGUUGAUUCACAUUGUUGGAGAGCAAAAUCAAGUCAGAGAAUUUGAUUUUGGAGAAGCCAAACGGUGCCCGAUUUUGUUUAAUUAUGUUCCAAGUUUGACACAAAUCCACCAAGGUGUAGGUGUGGGAGGGAAAAGAAAAAGAGAUACAAUUAACAGACAAUAUGCUGGAAGAUGGUCCAAGCUUUUUCACAGAGUUUAGUGGUUUUGUUUUUGAUGGGCACAAGUUCUGUUGAUUUUAGUUUAGUGGUAUUUUUUUAUACUACGAAAUGUUUCAAGUGAGUUAUACAUACUUGUUGCUAUUGCAUUACUUUUCAUCAUUUUUUUGUAACGUUAUAUGAUCAGGAUUCAGGAAAGAUCUCUCAGGUUCCAGAUCUUUCUUUGACAUAAUUUACAUGCAGGUUUGCAUGCUUCUUUAGCGUAAUAAAUUCAAAGAUAUAGAACACGACUGACCUAACUGAAUUAUGUACAAGAAUUAAUGAGACCCAAAAUAAAAAAAAAGACACAAAGAACUUUUACAAAUAAGUUUGUGGGGUUUCUCUCAUAACAGAAAAGUCUACCAAGUGGCAAAAAAUAACGUGUGCAAGAAUCCAAUUAAGAAUAACAACAAGUCUAAAAAGAAUGAUUCUGUCAUGAAACUCCGUAAACAACAUGAACCAUCGUCACUUUGAUCAUCUCGUCCUCUGCAUUAGUCAUUAGUAAUUUUUUUAAACAUGAUUACCAAAAAAACAUGAGCGAACAGUUUAAACGUAUAGAUGUGGAGAACUCGCAUGUUAAACCAAGACCAGCCCAUUUAAUUUAUGUCCAGCUUUUUUUUUUCUUCCGUUCCAUACAAAUACGUUGGAAAUAUGCAGUUUACACGAGAUUGGCAAUAUUUUUGUUCGUGGAAUCUAUAUAUAUAUAUAUAUAUAUAUAUUAAAUGGAUGAGAAGACAAUGGGUUUUGAAGCAUUCUAAGACAUAACGUGAACGUAACAUCAAUUAUCAGUGGACGUGACUGCUGACAUACCAAUUGUUGAUAUUGAUCUCAUCUUGCAGCAACAAAAUGAUGAAACAGUCACUGCAGGAAGUCUCCCUACAACUUCUGUUAGUGUGCCUCAUGUUAACUCUCAACCAGAGUUGAACAUGAACAUUCAGGAUGUUCCACGCUUGCAGUCGGACUUGAUAGCGGAUUCUCAGGAACCAUAUGUUUCUACACAUGCCCCUAUGGAAUGCCAAGAUAUUCAAGUCUCAAAGAUCACCACUAGUUCCUCUACCCCACAGGUUCAAGAGGAUAACCAAAUAGCAUCGCCAACUUUAGCCAAGAUUUUAUCGCCAUUAGUAGAUAUUGAAUCUACUCCCAUUUCAGCAUCUAUUAUGGAGACUUCUCCAUCCAACAUUAUCAACAAGGAGGUCCAAAAAACUUUGAUUGUUGAUCCUUUACACACAUUGGCUCAAGCAAGUGGAUUUGAGAGUCCUUCUCGGUUCACUGCGUUAGGUGAUGUGGAAGAGGCCCCAGAUGAACCAAUGAGCUCGCUCGGUUUGACAAAGGGUUUGAGGGAGAUUAGACCUCCUAAAAAGUUCCAAGAUUUGGAAUGGAAAACUGCACGAGGGAGAGGUAAGCGCUGCUGUCGCGGCUGUGGUAACACUCGCUAGUAGCUCUUUUUCAUUUCUUUUUUGGUUUUGACUCUCUCAUGCCUUGAAUGUUUCAUAGGUUUGAGAUGUUAUUCGUCAUGAAUUGUAUUCAUGCAAAUUUUUUCUCACUAUAAGGUCUACAACCUUAUUAUGUAAACGUUUUUAUUUUAAUUGAAAGCCCUUUGUCAAAAAAAAAACAUCAAUUAUCAAUAGUUUAUGAUUAGUCACAGAAGAGGUAACGUUCCAUUUAUCGGAUGAAUCUUUUCACAGCUCCAAUACAUCCCUCGCAUGACCUAGCCACUCACAGAACAAAGGAAUACAACAGAAAACAGAAAAACUAAGUUAGCGCAACCGUACAACAAAGUUUUUACAAGAACAUUUAUUAAUAAGCAUAUCACAUUGCUUUCGAUCUAAAAGAGUUGUGUUCUGUAUAUUUUUCUCAUGUUGUAAUUGCUUCUUCUUUAUAUUAAAUACAAAAUAUUUGAAAAAAAAAAUUGCUUGCUUUAAUUCAUCCUUGAUUAAAAAAAACUUUGAAAGUGAUAUCAGUAUGUAUAUGUUUUACCGCCGUCGCAUUAGAAACAGACAUCACCACGUGCAUCACGUGACGACCUUUAUCCGGAAUUUUACCGUAGCAUCAGGUGACACCCACGUGUCGUCACAGCUUACUAACCGAGUAGCAAACAUCGAAUCGUACACGUGUCAUAGCGGCCACGAAACGGGAAGGUCCUUCUAGUUCCAACAACAGUAACGACGCAGCAAGCAGAGGUAAUUAUUGCUUCGUGUUUAAUUGGAGCUAUUUUCGAUUCGAAACGUUAAUGAUAGCAUUUGUUGUGAGUUGAUUUUGUCAUGUGAGAAGAAAACAACUAGCUCUAAACACCUGACACCACAAAAAUAUAACAAAAUGAUGUGUUUAUAUAAGAAAUUGUCAAAUAUUCAGUAGCUGUGUUGGUAAAGUAUGGUGACUGAACCCUCAAAACCCAGAUUUGAAACUCACCAGUGUCACCCACGAAGUUUUAGUGAGCCCUAGCUAGGACGAAAUUUUGAAAUAAGAUUAUGUCCUAUCCGUGUACUGCAAACAUAGCAUAUAACAUUCUUCAAAGAACAUGGUUCCUGAACUUGUGGUGAUAGCAAAUACAUUACCAUUCCCAAAACAGAAAGUAAUCAUUUUGUCCAUACAGCAAUCAAACAUACCAAAAAAAAAUGAAAAGGGUAAAUGUUUAUUGGUGGUCUCAACUCAAGUAGAAAGUACAAAUGGACGAUCUAAUACAUAAUCUUUAUGCAUGUUACCAAAGAGUAACAAAUAAGAUAUGAGACUAGAUUCUUUGUUUUUGUGUAAUUCCAAAAGAAAAGCUUUAUUCCCCCGUUUUAGUUGUUGGGAGAUCCUUCGUAUGAAUCGAUCAGCUCCUUGAGUUUCUCAAAUCCCUGAAAUAUUUAUUAUUUAAACAAAGUUACUCUCUAAGCAAUCCUAAGAAUUCAAUAAUCCUCUGAAAAGUCUUACCAUGCGGGUUGUAAAUUCUCCAAAUGAUUCCUUUGCUUGUCUCCCAAGUUUCCAGUUGUAGAACAAUGGUUCAAAGACCUUCUCCAAGUCAUGAAUCUUCACCUUGUCCAUGAAAGCCCUCGCUAUCUGCGUCUGGUUCGGUGUUCCCCCUAACCAAACCUGCAUGAAACAGCAGCAACACAAAGAACCUCCAAUGAGCUUUUUCUUCUUCUGUUGGAACUCAUUGAAAGAAGCUAGCCAGAGAAGCAAUUAAUUUACCUGGUAGCUGUUUGGACCAUCCCCUACUAGACCGACCUCAGCCAUGUACGGUCUAGCACAUCCAUUAGGACAACCAGUUACUCUCACCACAACGGAUUCGUCAUAAUCAAGACCAACCUGAUACAAGAAAGAGUUUACACAUCAACAACCAUCGUUAUGGCAUAAAAAACUGAGUGGAUUAAUCUUUUUAGCUAUCAUACCUUCUCAAACAUUGCUCUCACUCUCUUUAGAAUGCUGGGGAUUCCACGCUCUGCCUCGGUUAUAGCUAGAGGGCACAAAGGAAAAGCUGGACAAGCCAUUGCGGUCUGGUUGAGAGGGUCUACAAACUCUGGUUGCUGCUCAAAUUAAUAGACUCUUGUCAACUUAUAAUAUCAAAAACUGAUUUCGUCUACCAUGACGAAAAUGAAUUACUUACCAGUAGGCCAGCCUGAGCAAGCACUGUGGUGAUAGGACGCUUCCAUUCACUCUUGAUAUCACACAACACAAUGUUUUGAUUAGGUGUAAUACGCACAUCAAGUUUGUACUUCUCGAUGACUUCUCUCAGUGUCUUUUUCAUGUUACCGCCAACACGUCCACUGUCUACAUGAAGCCCACAAAACCAUGCACCAUCUCCCUGCUCAUGCCAUCCCAAAUAACUCUUGAACUCCCACUCUGGCAAAUCACGUGAAGCCUCAAACUUUUUACCAUAAUAUUGCUCAACCACGUCUCUAAACUUUUCAAUUCCCCAGGAACUGAGCAGAUACUUCAUUCUACUGUAUUUGCGAUCAUCUCUUCUCCCGUGCUCUCUCUGUGUGACAACUAUGGCCUUCACAGCAUACAAGAUAUCCUCCUUAGGUACAUAACCUAGCGGUUCUGCAAUGCGUGCAAAAGUAGACUCCAUUCUGUGUGUUCUUCCCAUACCUCCACCAACCUGAAAGAGGACAAAAGAGUUAUUACCACUAGGCAUAACACAUUUAUAGGUUCGUUGAGGUUUGGAUCCUAUCAAUUAACCGAACGAAUCAUAUAUCUCUAGAACGAAAAUACUGAAACCAAACCGGAAACGAGAACCGAGUGGAUACGAAUUUCUAUAAUACAGUCUAUGUACUUAUAAAUAUUAGCUAUAUUUAGUUUUAAAAUAAUCAAAUAGUUAAAAAAUAUUAUUUAUAAAUUCAACUACCCAAAAAACCUAAUCAGAAUAUUUUUUAUGCGAAAUAUAAAAUUAUCCGAACUAUCCAAAUUUCAUCCGAAAAUUCGAAAAAAAAUCUGAUAUUUAAUCCAAAACGAAUUUUCUGACUUUUUAACCCAAAAAAACGAAACUCAACCGGAAUGAGAUCCAAAGUUACCUCGGAUAUUAACCGCUUCCUUUGUUACAUGAACCAAAACAAACCAAACCGAAAAUCAAAUUAAUCAAACCGAAACUAAGCCAAAGCUUCUAAAUGUCCGAACAGGUCCUAAACCUCUAUAACCGAAGAUUCGAACCAGGAUCGAGAGUUAAAUGCUCAGGGCUACUAUGAAAGAAACUAAUAUAAUGUGAGAUGAUGAAGCAAGUGUAGACACUUACAUAUAUGUUGAAGCCCUGAGGCUCCCCAUUGUCAUCAGAAACAACAACAAGACCAAUGUCAUUGGUCAAAAGAUCAACAGAGUUAUCCGUAGGCACAGUCACAGCGAUCUUAAACUUCCUCGGCAAGAACUGAGUGCCAUAAAUAGGCUCAGGAGAGUCGACGAAGUUAGUCCCAUGAGAGUUAUCAUUCCUCGCCUCGACAACCUCCGGCGGCUCGGCCGUCAUAAACCGCUCACCAUCCACCCACAUGUCAUAGUAAAACCCCGACUGAGGACUGAGAAGCGCCGCGACGUUAUCAGCCGUCUCCUGCGCGAAUAGAUAGUCUUUCCUCGCGUAAGGCGCGGCCGGAGCAAGAACGUUCCUGUUCAGAUCACCGCAAGCUCCAAGAGUGCUCCCCAUGUUUCUGAUGAUCGAGCUCAUCACGGUCUUGAGAUUGUGUUUUAAAACGCCGUGGAGCUGGAACGUUUGCCUGGUGGUUAAACGGAGCGUGCCGAUGCCGAACUCGUCGGCUAAGUCGUCCAUGGUGAGGUAGAGCUGGUUAGGGACUUUGCCGCUCGGGUUCUUGGUGCGGAGCAUGAAGGAGUAGGAUCUUCCGCCGCGUUCCUCACGGUUGUACUGUUGGUAGCUUCCGUGGAACUUGAUGAGCUGCACGGCGGAUUCGUUGACAUUGGGGGCUUCUGUUAGGAGCUCCUCGUUGAGAGGGUACCUGAUGAAGUUGCUCUUCUCCUUGAUGAUCUCGACCUUACUCCUCUUGGUGGUGGCUUUCGCUGCUGCCUCAGGCUGGAGAAUAACAACAACUUUAGAGAAAGUCUCUACGACGUCGUUUUUAGAUUAGAACUAAUAUCAAAGAAGGGAUUAGAUUCUUACAGUGGAUACGGCUUGGAUUGAUGAUGAAGAUGACGACGAUGGAGGUAGAGAAUGAACACCACCACGCACGUUUCUUCCGAGGAAAACAGAACGAGAGGAUCUCAGAGCGUUGAGAAUCUUCUGAUCGGAGGAAAACACAGUGGCGGCGCCCGCCGGGGAUCGAAACGACGUCGUCAUGGGUUCAGAUAGAGAGAGAGACUGAGAAAGGUUCGGCUUUUCAGUGGUUCAUAUAAGAAAGCAGAGCAAAAAUUGGCAUGCGUUGAUAAAAUAUUUUAAUACGAAAAAAAACAAAAAUUUGAGACCAUGGUCAAAACUAAUGUGCGCAGUCAUGUGCUUGACACGAGACAUUAAAUCAGAGAUGGCUAACCAAGAGAGCGCGUGAAUGACACAAACAGUCGAAAGAUGAGGAGACUGAUGCGCGUGUCGAACGAUUGCUGCUAAAUGGCGCGUGAGAGUAAUAUUUGAUUAUAUACUGAAGUACCUAACCGGUUUUUGGUACAGGAUACAAAGUUGAUGGUGAACUCGGUUAUUCCUACAGAACAAAAGCUGUAAUCUUACGUGGCUGGUGUGGAUUGGUUAGUUGUUGAAUCCUAUACACACACGUGCGAGAAAAGCUGUGUACAGCGACUCUCACCUACUUGGCUGCUCGCUAGCACGAAGGGCUAAUAGGUUCCGUGGUGGGCACAGGCAAUAAUUUGUAGUUAGUUUGCUCAAAUAUUAAUUUUUACUAUUCAGUUAUGAUUAUAAAUACUCUAUAAUAUUUAUCACAAACCCCAUUCGUUAUAUACUUAUAUACUGUUAAUGACAUUAUAGAUAAACAGAAAACAGUAUGACUUUGAAAAUAAACAUCAUUGUCUAGUAGACUCACCCCACCAUUAGCACUAGAGUGGAUUUUAGCCCCACAAAAAUGGUGGCCUGAGUUGAUGGAAUAUUUCAUUUGUUAAAAAAUGAAGGAAAAUAUAAAUUUGCGUAGGAAGGCAUUUUAAAUAUAUGGAGAAGAAAUCUGAGUAAUUUCAGAAAGAAGAAGAGGCAGCAUUUUAACAAGCUCAGUCAUCAGUGCAAGAUCCCCUGAGAAAUAAAAUAGACUAUAUACUAUAUAUCAAGUAUCAAGCAAGGAUGUUUGUUAAUAACUGUUCAUAUCUAUGGUUUGAUCGAUAUUGAUGUUUCACAAGCUCUGGAGAAACACAAUAAAUUAUAUAACUAUAUGUAUUAAUGUAUAGAUAUAGUGUGAAUUGUGCAUCAUGCAUAUCGUUUUCACGUACCACUACUCCAAAAGACAUUUUGAUAUUGCGGUGUAUACAGUAUACAUAAAUAAAUAAAAAAGAAUCCUCACCAACUACAACUUUGGAUCGGUCCCUCGUAGUUUAUGGAAAUCAAGAAAUACACCAGCUUUUAGAGUACACAAAAUAUGAUAUAUACGACAAGAUCUCUUACAUACGGUAUGGAAUAAGUAGAUGAUAUUUGUACAACCAGGAAAGCAUAUUACAUGAAUAUAAAUUUGAGACACAAUAAGUUGCAUAGUAUAAGUCAACCGAUCGAAACCUAACUAAACUGCAACUUUCGAUGCAUCAUGCAUGUGAGGUUAAAUACAAACAAUUUUUUUACUAAUGCACUUUAGAGUGGAUAAUACAUGUAUUUACAAGAUUUACAUAGCAUUUUAAAUCGGUUUCAAGCGGUUUUUCCUUGUAGUCAUAUGAAGUAUAUAUAUGAAAGCAUUAAGCAACCACGGCUUGUUUUUAUUAGGAGUUUAGAGCGGUGCUCGUUGGCCUGGUGAAUCUGGAGAUUAUAAACUAGUCAACCAGACGCAUUACAUUUAGUUUUAACGUCUCUUUAAUUUCACCAAACAACAGAUUCUGGAUGUCUUAGUCUCAUUUUCCUUUUUUUUUGUAGUAUAUAUGUCGCUGUUGUCUUGUUCUAAAAAUUCAACAAAUGAAGAAUGGUUUUGGACUUUUAAUCCGACUUUGGAUUAUCCAAGUGAACCUUUUAUAUAUUUAAUACAACUCAAAUUGUUGAUAAAACACCUGUACGUAGAUAGUUUCAUAGUUUGUUGUUAAGACCGUGGCAACUAGAGAUAAGUUCAACCGUCCAAAAUUUAAAUUUAUAUAAUAAGAUGUUUAUACAUAACAGAAAGAGACUCAAAUCAGUAAUUUUUAACAUUUAUAAUUGGAUAAUUUUCUCAAAUAACUAUUUUUAGUUUUUGUUACAAAAAUAACUCUCGAAAAAGAAAAUGACCAUAAUAAUCUCUUUUUAUUUUGAAAAUUUUAAUUUUUAUAAUUUGAAACUCUAUCUCAAAACUUCACUCAUUAACUCUAAAUCCUAAGUUUAGAUUAAUUAACCUUGGGUAAAAAUACAUUUUUACUCUUUAAUAAAACUUAUUUUGGUCAUUUUUUUAUUGAAAGCUAUUUUUAUGACAAAAACUUUAAAAAACUAUCCUAUAAAAUUUCUCUUCGUUAAUUUCAUAUACUUAUUAUUUAUUGAUUUUCAUCAAAUCUAAAUUUAUAUACAAAACAUUUCCUUUAAAAUUAAAUAAAGAAAUCUUAACUAAAUUAAUUUUGUGAAUUGACCUCAGUUUUUUUUGCCUUUGGACUUUUGUUUUUCUAUAAUACCACAAAUUGAAUUAUUAAUAGAUAACAGAACCAAAACAAAAACAAAAAAAAAAAACGACAACGCAGUACCAAACUGUGUCGUAUUAUCGUUGUGGGGGGAAGAAUCGAAUCCAGCGUGACAACAAUUGAUCGGAAGGUGAAGAAGCUCCGUCACCGUCUCUUCUCCUUCAUCUCUCGUUCUCAAUGACGCCGCCGAGACCACCGUCAGGGAGACAAAGACCGCUGCGUUAUUAUUCAGAUUCAGAGAGGACCGAAGGAGGUAGCGGUAGUUGGGACACCCUCGAAUGGAACAAACUCGAUGUAAGCUUUCUCCUUUCACCCAACAAUUAGACAAAACAUCACGAGAAUUGCGUGUUUCUGGCGAUUUUCUUAAAAAAGUUCAUAUUUUGUGGAAUUAAUUGCUCAAAAUUUUUUAAAAAGUUCUCUUUUUGGAUUUGAUUAAGUCGCAGCAGACAGCUUCAGGUUCAAGUUCAACAUCCUUUGCGAAUUUGAGUUGCUUGCUCGAAUCCGAGAGGGUCAUCGUUGAGGUAUGUCUAUUGAAAUCCAACAUUGGUUUUGUUUUUGUCUGAGUUUGGACCUUUUGUUGUUGUAAAGGGUUAUGGAGUUGUACUUAUCAACACCGAUGAGGCAGGGACCUUGUUGGUGACAAACUUUCGUAUUCUCUUUUUGGUAUGAAACAUUGUGUCCUUUCCCUCUGUUGCUUACAUGUGUUUCUCAAGCCACUUGUGAUGGAUAUAUAUUCUUUGGUUUUAUUUUUGUGAAGAGUGAAGGUACUAGGAAGGUCAUCCCACUAGGAACGAUCCCGUUGGCGACUAUUGAGAAGUUUAACAAAACGGUCAGUUGCUAUAUCCCCUGUGGCCUGGACUGAGACGUGUCAUUGAUACUUACCUGAGGUUUAAUACUUUAAUGCUACUUUUUGUAUGUACAUUAGGCGCUGAAAGUUCAAUCAAACAACCGUCAGUCCGACAAGAAUCCACCAAGACGUCUUUUACAGGUCACUGGUAUGUUUCCAAAUCUAAUUAUACACAAGAGCUGAUCUGGUUAAUAAGAAGUUAUAUUGUGAUGGUGACGUUAUAUGGUGUGAUCACUUGCAUUUUGCAGGCAAAGACAUGAGGAUCAUUGUUUAUGGAUUUCGUCCUAAAACCAAACAGGUGAAUCUCUUACUUCUUCUUAUUCUAACACAUUCCUUUCUCCUUGGAAUAAUCUGUAUAACCUUUAUGAUCAUACUGUUGCAGAGGCGUUCUGUGUUUGAUGCGUUACUGAGGUGUACCAAGCCGGAGAGAGUAUGGGAUCUUUACACUUUUGCUUGUGGGCCUUCCAAGUUUGGUAACGCAAACCCAAAGGAAAGAUUGCUUAAUGAAUAUUUCCGGCUUCUUGGAAAAAGUUCGUUACGAGCAUCGAUGGAUAUGAUUGAAGAUGGAUCAUUUACACUGGAGAAUGAGCUGUGGCGGAUAAGUGACCUCAACUCCAAUUAUAACCUGUGUCAGACUUACCCUUUCGCCUUUAUGGUUCCGAAAUCUAUAAGGUAGGACAGGGGAGUCUUUUACGAACUUACCAAAUUAAAAAAAAUCAUUUUCACCAUCUUUCUAGUGAGUAUUGAUUAAAAGAUCUAACAAAUCUGUGUUGUUGAUAGUGAUGAAGAGCUGCUCCAGGCGUGUUCUUUCCGGGCAAAAUGUCGCUUACCUGUGAUCACGUGGUGUCAGCCAGGUGAAAAUGCAGAUGUUCUGUCUGCUGCCAUUUUAAUUUUUGUGGUAUUGGUUCCACACUGACAUGCUGCUUUUUGGACUCUUUUUGCAGGCAGUGGUGCUGUAAUUGCACGCUCAUCACAACCUUUAGUGGGUCUUAUGAUGAAUAUGAGGAGGUAUAUCAGACUUCCAACUUUUUGAGGAUACAUUUGGAUAAUAAUUUAGUGGAUUUUGAAGUUCUUGAAGCGAUUGAUUCUGAAGUUUCAUUUGUUUCACUUGUCUCAACAGUAAUUUUGAUGAAAAACUUGUUGCUGCAUUCUGCACUCAGCUUGGUGCUAAUAAGGGAGAACGAAGGUGAGCUUCUGGCGUCCCUGUGAUCUGAUUGGCUCUUACACAUCAUGCACUUAUCUCAUCCUGUUAUAUCACUUUGCAGGAAGCUUUAUAUUGCCGAUGCGCGACCUAGGAAAAAUGCAUUAGCAAAUGGAGCAAUGGGAGGCGGCUCAGAAUCAUCUUCAAAUUAUUUUCAGUCUCCAGUUAGUAAAUGAUCUUCUUGGUUUGAUGUUCAACAUCUUGAUCUUCUUGAAUUGCUUGAUUUUUAUUGACGGUGUUCUUUUCUUCAGAUUGUUUUCUUUGGCAUUGACAACAUACAUGCGAUGAGGGAGAGCUAUUCCCGACUCAGAGAUUAUUUAGAUAUGCACGGUGCAACAUCUUCUGAUGGGAGAUCAUCGUUCUUGGUGAGUACUGAAUGUACAGAAACUUUCUGUAAUUAAAGUUAGUAUAUAUAUAUUAAAAUUUUCCUCCAGCACAUCCAUGAACUUAAUUCAGAAGAACUUAAUUUUAUAAUGUAUUAGCUUCUUUUUGAUAGGGCUCCUUUAAGAGGAUGCAGUAUGAUUUAUUAUACUUUUGUUUCUUACUCAUGUUGCUAACCAUUAAGAUAUGUGUGUGGAAUCUGCAGAGACAUACUGGUUGGACUUGGGGAGGAGGUAACCUUAGUAGCAUGUCUGCUUCCGUGUCUUUACUUGGAGACAGUGGUUGGUUGAUACACAUCCAGAACGUCUUAGCUGGUGCCGCAUGGAUUGCUGCACGUGUCGCAGUGGAGUCGGCUUCGGUUCUUGUGCACUGCAGGUUAGCUAUAAGUUACAUCACCACCCAACUAUUCUAUCUUUGUGGCAAUAUUAAGAUGCAUCUGUUUGAAUCGGAAGAUUCUAUUUACUGUUAUUAGCAUUUGUUUGUUAUUUCAUGACUCUUAAAGUCUAUGUCAUUGCGCAGUGAUGGAUGGGACAGAACAACUCAGCUCGUUUCUCUUGCAUGCUUGAUGCUUGAUCCAUACUACAGAACCUUUGCUGGGUUUCAGGUAUUGUAUUUUCGUGUUUACUGGUUCCAUUCUUGUAUGUGGCUAAUUAUGUGAAAGCCUUUAUCUAGUUCAGGUUUUAGUUGAAGCUUCCUUUGAUUUCUCACAAAAUAUAGCUAUGUAACUAGACGUGUUUGUUAAUGGUUACAUCUGUAGCUAGGAGUAACUUCUAAUUGUGCACAAAAAUUCUAUAUAUGAUUCUUGUUUGCUACACCCUCGUCUUAUGUAAUUUUUUUUUCAUUUCCCUCAUAUCAGGCUCUUGUGGAAAAAGAUUGGCUUGCUUUUGGUCACCCGUUUUCAGAUCGUGUAGGAAUGCCUAACAUAUCAGGAUCUGGUAACUUUGACUUUCCAAGGCAGUCUUCUUCUGCUGGAAGCUACCCUUCAUCUCCAGUGCGUCAGUCCACGCAAUCAGGAGCCUCACAAUCUCCAAGCUCUUCCCAUGCACAGAACAAUUAUUCUCCUAUAUUUACGCAGGUGAGCGAGCAGCUAUUCUUUGCAACUAUAGCAAUCCUUUUGGUCUGUUUAGAUCUCUGUUUCAGUACGUUGGCAGACAAAGAGUUAAUACAAUGUUCACAACUGUGUUUGCAGUGGGUUGAUAGUGUUUCACAGCUAAUGCGGAUGUAUCCUUGUGCUUUUGAAUUUUCUCCGGUAUGUAUAAAGACUAACAACUUCAUGUUUAACUUCUUCUAGUAACUAAUAGUACUCACUGGAAUUUAAAUUUGGUAUUGCAGACUUUCCUUGUAGAUUUCAUGGAUUGCUUGCUUUCAUGUCGUUUUGGGAACUUCUUAUGCAACAGGUACAUCCAAACAAAAAUGAUUGUGAAACCACUUAAUUGGUAUUAUAUGUUUGACUAAAAUGUGAGAUUAUGUAAAUUUUCAGUGAAAAAGAGAGGCAGCAAUGUGCGAUUGCUGAAGCAUGUGGAUGCAUAUGGGCCUACUUGACUGAUCUUCGUUCUCUCGCUACAACUUCUCAUGUCCAUUGUAACCCAUUCUACGACCCUUUGAAAUACGAUGGCCCGUUGCUACCUCCCGCAGCAUCUCUAGCGCCAACACUUUGGCCUCAGUUCCAUCUCCGGUGGGCAUGUCCCGAGGAAGCUACAGCUGCAGAUAUCGAGGUCCAGUGUAGAGCCAUGAGGGCGAAGUACUCCGAGAUGCAGAAGGUCAGUUAAUUAAACUCAUCUGCUUCAUUUAUCGUGGUUUUUAAAUUCUAACACAUUCAAAUGUGCUUUUGAAAACAGGAGAAAGAGGCAACAGAGAGAAGAGUGGAUGAGAUCUCUUUUGCAAUGGAGUCAUUAAGCGCAGAGCUGCUAAGAGAGAGGCGUAUGAGUUGGUCCGCUAGAGAAUCAGCAAAACGAGCCACUAAGGAGUACAGAGCUUUAACCAGAGCAGUGCAAUCACUCGGCUGCAAGGUUAACUUCACCACAUCUGAUGUGGAAGACGCCCCUCUGGAGACUAAUAACAAUAAUAAUAAUAAUAAUUCUAGGAGGCGAGACAGACAGGGAAACAACUCGGAUGUUUCUGUAUCUAUCUCGCUAAUGUCGGAAGAAAACAGAAGUGAAAACCAGGUGGGGAGAGUUUGUGAAGCGUUGUGUCCACUGCGGACAAGGGAAGGAGUGUGCAGAUGGCCUGAAGCUGGAUGUGCUCAUCUCGGAAGUCAGUUUGUUGGUUUAAAAACUAACUUUGAUGCGUUUGAUAGGCUUUCUAUCCAUGAAAGCUAUUUCAAAUCUGAAUGAAGGGAUCAAGAUCUCGAUGAAGAUGUAACUUUUAACAGAAUAAAAGGGGAUGGAGGAUCAUAAGUAUCAUCAAACCGUCAAAAGGCGGGAGCAUAACGGUAUAAACUGACACAGAGUUUUUGGAACAAGGGAGAGUCUCUGAUCUUUACUCUUGAGUAUAGCUAAAAGCAGGAGGAUGUGUACAUCUCUCUCGGUGUUUUAUGUUUUUACUUAAACCACUAUUUGCUUUAGAUUUAUUAUUCUUUUUGGUUAAAAUGAAUAAGGUUGAAAAGUGAUGUACAUACAGUUCAGUAUAAACGAUUAUUCAUAACAAAAAAAAAAAUAAACUAGUAUUCCUCUUUAUCUGUUGUUCAAAUAAAAGAAAAAAAAAAGUAUUCCUCUGUAGUUAUACUCUUUAUUCUAAAAAGAUGUUUAAAGAACUUUUGAUGUUAAGAUUCUUUCUAGAUAAAAUUUAGCCAGUCAUGUUGGGUUCUAAUGAUAUUUUUUAUAUAAAAAAUAGUUCUUUUGAUAUGUGUGUUUUAUCUAAAAAAUUAUUAUAUUUAGGAAUGGGGAGUAUAUUUGACUAUGUUCAUGCAAUUUCUGGCAAUUCCGCAGUCUGACUGACAAUAUAAGAGAAGAUGUCUUAUAACCAAAGUAACGGAUUCAUAAACUAGAUCAUGUCAAUAUAGACCUGAUAAAAGAAACUGAGUGAGAAAGAAGAGAAACUAAUUCAAAACUUAAUUUGAACACAAACUUAUGGCUCAAGAAACUUCCUUGAAUGCAGAGAAGACUCUUCUCUAAGCAUACAACGAGAUAUAGUGAUCGUUAUCAAUUAAGUUAACAAAAAAAACACAAAGAAAAAAAUAGAAAAAUGGGAAUCAAUUGACACCAUAUCAUGCAUCAGCCUAUGAGUCUCAACGGUUUUGAAGAGUUUCAAUUGCCUUUUUCCACUGCAAAGCUCGUUGUUUCGAGUCUUCAAACGAUAAAACCUUCUUCGGCUGCCAACAAACAAUCAAACAGUCAAGUUUCAUCGCCUAGAAAUAACAAAAGAAAAAGAAAAAGAUUGUGUUGUUACUGUGCAAAUCUUGAAAUGAGAAGGACUCGAGACUUGAACAUUGAGGUCGUUGGAGUUAUCAGACCAGAUGAUAUUCCCUUUCACAAUAAGCUUCGAUGGAUCCACGUAGAUCAGUCUCGGUUUGUUGGUGAGUAUUAGCUGCACCUUCUUGCUCGUGAUCUUCUGUAGCUUCUUCACUGCUGAUAUCAUUAGAACUGAUUCUCCCGGUUCAAGAAACUGUUGCCUGAUUUACAAAAGACAACGUUAGGAUUUUGAAUACUGAUUCAGUGAAAGCCUAGUAGUAGUUGUCUCACCAUCUCGAAUCAAAAGAGUCUAUAGAGGCAAGCCUUGUUAUGGAGCCUGAAGAUUCAGAAGCUGCAGAGACGCCACCGUGUCCAUCGUUCUGCGUGACUGAAGCAUCUCCAACAUGUGUUGGGUUCCAUGGAGAACCAUCCCUCUCUGGAGAUGCUGAUUGAGACUGCACAAGACAUAAAAGGAUCAAGAGAAGGACGAGACGGUUGGGAGUAUAGUGUAAGGAGGGGUAUAUACCGAAGGAUCUGGAGCUAGUUUUGGUGGAGUUUGCGAUCUAACGUUCUUCCAGUCAACACCUUUGAAGAAAGGAUGUCUCUUGAGGGAAGCAUAACCAUCUGAUCCAGCUCCUGGUCUUCUACUAGGAUCUGUAUCCUGAGAGAGAGAGAGUACCAGAGGUCAACACUUGUGUUUUAGUGUUAAAGUGGAGCAUAUCUUACAAGUAAUCGGUCGAUGAGGUCUCUUGCUUCUUCUGAGAAAUGAUUUGGGAACUUUAUAUCUCUCGCUAUAAUCCUUUGGAAAAUCAGCCAUUCACUUGCAUCCUUGAAUGGAGAAGUUCCUGAAAGCAUUUGGUAUAGAGUGCAGCCGAGUGCCCAGAGAUCGUUUCUGUUUGAAUACGUUCCAAAAAAAUACCAAUAAAAAUGUUUUUAAGUAAUCCACAUAAUCAAAAAGCUCUCAAAAGUUUGUUCUAACACAAACAAUCUUACCCGAAAGUUGCUGGAGAGGAGUUGAGAACUUCAGGAGGAACGUAUGCCGCCGUACCAACAAAAGUGCAAGCCUUAUCAUCUGCAUAAGUCACCAGUUUACAUACAUGCUUACAAUAGCUACCAAAGUGGACAUGAAACUUCAUAUUUUUACCGGAAGCUGCAUUGGGAAGAAGAGUGAUCUGGCUGUCUUGCAUAGGCUUUACACUACCAAAAUCAGCAAUCUUAAUGUGUCCAUCUGAAGUCAGCAACAGAUUCUCCGGCUAACUCAUUCAAAAACUCAAGUUAGCAAAUAAUGUACUUGUUUGAGUCAAAUGCUAUUAACAAAAGAAGAAGCUUACCUUUAUAUCUCUAUGUAUGAGUCCCAUAGUAUGUAUAUACUCAAGAGCAUCCACAACUUGUGCACUAUAAAACCGAGCUUCAUCCUCUGAUAAGCGACCUUUCUGCCAAAAAACACAAAACACACAACAUUUCAACAACAUAAACCAACCUCACAGAUUCUGAAUAUAGUAGUAGUAAUCUUACUCUUGUGAUCUGGUCGAAAAGCUCCCCACCUUCACAAGACUCAAGCGCCAUAUCUACAAAAGUAAAAGGACUAAAGAUCACUUCAUGUUCAAUCACAGAGAGCCUACGUGCGGAAGACCAUUAGUUUCUCAUUAUUAUCUUGAUUACACCGGCCUUCCAAACUGAUUUGCCAUAAGUAGAUUGGCGCUAACCCUUUAUAUAUUAGUUAAUUAAUUCUCCAACUACCACCAAUGUGAGUACUUUUCAAUCAUUUUCAUUAAACAGUCUAAUACUCUAUAGAAGAAGCAUACACAGUGAGAACGAAUCUUGAAACGUGAAGAAGAGUUUAACAAUCCCAGGAUGAUCGAGCUGAUCAAGAACAAUCCUCUCAAGCUUAACAUAAGCUGUUUUAUUCUCCUUGGUGAUAAACUUCUUGUCCAUGAUCUUCAACGCGUACACAGCUCCAUUCUCCUUCUUCUUCGCCCUAACAACCUGUGUAUAUUCGAUUAACACACCCAUAAGCACAAACUCUAUGUAAAGUAUCGAUUUUUAGGGGGAAAGAUGAGACCUUUGAGUAAGAGCCAACGCCAUAGAUCUUGUCGAGCUCGAAAUCCUGGAUGGUGAAAUUCUCCUGUGGAGCUUUGAACGCGAAGCUUUUGCUUCUGGAUAUGCUCGCGCCACCGUUGUUGCCUUGGAGGGUGAGCUUUGAAUCGAAUUCUUUCUCCAUUGUCAUCGACUUUGUUCUUCUUCUCUACAUGUCGAUGAUGAGACCCAUCAGAAAUUCGAUGAAGGAGAGGACGUGAAGAAGAAGAAGACGAAGAAAGAAUCGGAUCGGAGAGGAGAGGAAUGUGACACUUUCAAAAAAAAACAAAAAAAAAAUUGAGGAAAUUAAUUAUUUCUAUUUUUAUUACAUUAGAGGUAACAUGUUCUGUAGGGCCUGGACCAAUGGAACCGAACCAUUGGGCUAACGAAACAGCUGAAAGAACAUAGAGGAAUGUGACACUUCCAAAUUUUUUUUACUUUUUAAAAAAUUAUUUCUGUUUUUAUUUUGUUAGAGCAUCUCCGAAAGAAACUCUAUAACUUCAAAUAUAAAAUUUUUUUGUUUUCCAAAAAGGAAUUUCAAAAUUUCAAAUUUGAAGUUUUGAAGAGUGAAACUCUAUAUUUGAAAUUUCACAGCUCAAAACUUCAAAUUUGAAGUUUCAUAUUUUUAUUUGCAUUUUGGUCUCUACAAUCACACAUCAUUUUUAUGAUUCAUAAAUAUUUUCAUGUUUAUUGUUUUAAUCCUUAAAAAAAUUAUAUCUCAUAUAUAUUUUAAUUUUUGUUUACAAAAUUUAAACAAAAAAUUUUUGAUUCAUAAAUAUUCUCACAUAAAAUUACAUAUAACUUUAAAAUAAGAUUUAAAAUAUUUUAAAUUAGAUUUAGACAACAAUAAUAUUCCAAAGAAACUCAACAAAGAAGAUUUUUUAAAAUUACAUGAAGACAUAACUAUUACACAAAAUUAAACAUUACAACACUGAUAGUCAUGUAAGUUUGAUCCGGAACCUUCAAAAAUUUCAAAUAUUUUCCAAUUUUUUUUGUUAUACUGAAGAUGGUUGUUGUUGUUGUUUUUGACAUUUUUUUCGUACAAUUCUUUAUUGUUCAUAUAGAAUAUAUUCACGACUAUUAAUAUCAUCAAAAAGAAAUUAGUCUUUUAGCAAUAUUUUAUGUUUAUCUUUUACUUUCUUUUUCUGAUCUUAUGUAUUUACAAGUAUCAAUAUCACCCGAUUUCAACAAAUUUUAGCUCGUAAUCUACAAAGUAAAAAUGAGGAGAGCCAUUUUUACUUCGAAAUGCACUAAUAGAUCAUAUAUGCAUUACGAAAAUCAUUUUAUGGAAUUAUAUGGUAUUUUGUUUGAAGUUUAAUAUUAAUUAAGUUAUUUUAUUUAAAUUUUUAUAGAAUAUUAUAUUUAUUAAUAUUAUUGUAAUAUGUUUAUAUAUGUGUUAGUUAUUUACAAAAUUUUUAUGAAUUCAAAUUAGUUAUGAAAAAUAUAAGGUCCAUAUUAUAAAAUACAAAUAGUUUUGAAGUUAAAUUUGAAGUUUUGCUUUUGGAGAAAAACACCUUUAAACUUCAAAUAUAGAGUUUUAGAAACUUCGAAAUAAAGUUCCUUUUUGGAGAUGAUUUUAGAACAAGUAACAUGUUCUAUAUCGCUUGGAACCAAUGUACAGGGCUAAGGAAACAUUGACUUGUAUGUUGUUCAUAGGUUUGGGCAUAUAAACCGAGAACCGAAAACUAAUUGGAACUGAACUGAACAGAAAAGAAAGUGAAUCCAAAAACGAACCAAUGUUUACAAUCCCCAAUAGUAGAACAGGACCUGAACCCAUUGGUUUGAAACAUUUGAAUGAGCCCCACCAUAUAUAGGAUCCCCAAUUUUUUUUAAAAAAUGUUUAAUUCCAUGUACUAAUCUAUGUUAGGGGGUGUUAUUGGAUUGGAAAUUAACAAAAAGUUAUAUAGAUUUAGUUGUUUUGAUGAUUCUAAGGUUAUUCAUUUACAACUUUUCAAAGUAUAUUAAAGUCUAGUGUUAUGGGUUUAUAAAUUUGUAAUGAGUAGUUAAAAGCUUAUAGAAAUCUAGAGUUAUUGGAUUCAAUAUUUUACAAAGUCAAUAAAAGUUUUGUGUUAUUCAAAAGAAAUGAAACAUGUAUGGGGCUCUACUUCUGAUUGCCGUAAGUGAAACCUGUCAACAAACCACAAGCAGCUGAAAGAUCUUGCUUCCGGCUCUUCAUAUGAUGCUCCUUAGAUUUUUUUUCUUAUCUCUGUUGUUUGCAUUAUCAUCACUUGCUCAUAUUGCUUUUAGUUUUAGCCCCUGAUGCAUACAUAAUUUUUACUAGGUGGUUGCCCGCGGCAGAUAUAAAUAUUGUAUGAAAAUAUAUAUUAUGCAUACAAUGUCAUAUAGUUUGAAACAUUAAAAAUAUAAUUUUUAACUUCGAAUAGUUUGAAAAUCAGUCAUAAAAUUUCCAUAAAUUUGAUGUAAAAAUAACUGAUGAAUAUUUAGUAAUAAAAAUACUUGUGAAAUUAUAUAUGUAAUUAUCACAAUAACUUCUCCAACACAUAUUAUGCAUAUUAUUCGGUAUCUUCUUAUUUUUUCAUUAUCAUUUCGUUCUUUUUAUUAAAUUAUUGCUAAUGUUUUCCUACAUUUUUACAUAUUUUUUGCCAAGUAUUUAUUUCUCUCUCUAAAUAAUAAUACAAAACAUACAAUCAAUAAACAAAAAAUCCAUCUUAUAAUUCUAAUCAAUCACAACAUUAUUAUUUUCAAUCAUAAUAUUAUCUUAUUUACUAUAUUAUAUGACUUAAAUGAAAAAUAUUUUUAAAUCAAAAUUCUCGCAUGUUCCGUUAAAUAUAAUAUGUCCAACCUUCAAAGCCUAAUUAUUUAUAAAGCAUAUAAGGACAUUAUAAGAGAUUAGUUAGUAUUAUAGAUAUGACUAUAUUUUUAUAUGAAUAUGAAAUCAUUAUAUCGAUUUCUAUAAAAAAAAAUUAUAUUCAUUAUUUUAUUUAGUAUAUAAAUAUAAAAAGAAUUGAUCAAACAUUAUUACACUUUCUAUAACUUUGAAAAUUAGCUACUAUUAAUUUUUAUUUGUAAUAUCAUUUAGGUUAUUGUGCAAGUGAUAAUAAUUACUUUUAGACUUAUCUUUUAUUUUAGAUCUAAUAAAAAUAAUUAAAAUUAUAAAAAAAUUAGUUCAUUAUAUUAUUUAGUUUAUAAAUAUAGAAAAAGUUAUCAAACGUUUUCAACAAUUAGUUCCAUAAAUCAUUAUUUGUAAUAUAAUUUAGAUUAUUUAGCAAGUGAUAUUAAUUGGUUCCAGAUUUUUUUAAUUUUAAUCUAAACGAAAAUAAAUAAAAUUAAAAAUUAUCGACCAAGCAAAUCAUAACAAUUUUCUUAAGACUUCACAAAUGAUCGACAUGUAAGCAAAAAUUAUUUAAGUGACUUCUCGUUUAAUAGUAGAAUUUUUAUUUUUAGAAAUGUUUUAUUAACUCAUACAAAUAAUUUAAAAUUAAGAUUAAAUAAUUUUGUAAGCCAUGAUAGAUAGUUUUAUAAAUGUUUUAUUUUUUAAGAAAUGACUUAUAAGACAUAUAUGGACAUUAUAAGACAUUAAUAAUUAUUAUAAUUUUUAUAUACGAAUAUAAUGUUUUAUAUAAGAAUAUGAAAUCAUUAUAUCGAUUUCUAUAAAUUGUGUUCUAAUAAUUAUUUUGAGUAGUAUAAAAAUAUAAACAAAUUAAUCAAAUAUUAUUACAUUUUCUAUAGUUUUGACAAUUAGUUACCAUAAAUUAUUAUUUUUAAUAUCAUUUAACAUAUUUGGUAAGUGAUAUUAAUUAGUUUUAGACUUACUAUUUAUUUUAGAUCUAACUAAAAUAAAUAAAAAUUGAAUAUCUUUCGACCAAAUACAUUCUUUCUUAAAUUAAUAUUAUGAUUUUUUCAUUUAAUAUAUAGGAGGAUUAUUAUGAUUAUGUGCGUGCUAUAAAAAAGAAUAACUUUAUUGUGAUUAUUCCAUCGAUUUAGGGAGUAUUUUGAAGUUUUAUUAAUUUAUUUGAUAAAAACUAUUGAAAGAUGCUCAUUUACCAUGAAAAAGAGCUUAGCAUACAUUAAUACAAAUGUAGAAUAUGGUAGAAAUUUCAAAACAACACUAAAGAUUAUAGGCUUCAGUAUAUAAAGUAUUUACCAAAAACUCAAUAUUUUUGUAAGGGUUAGCCCAUAGAUUUUGAGAAAAUUUCAAAAAAUAUGACAAUAUUGUUUUAAUGCCUAGUUGCAUCCUGCACUAACAUAUGAUGAUGUUCAAAGAGGUUUAGAGCCUUUGUCGUCUCCGUUUAUCAAGAAAAUAAUAAUUUUAUAGUGGUUAUUCCAUCGAUUUUGGGGGGUAUUAUGANNNNNNNNNNNNNNNNNNNNNNNNNNNNNNNNNNNNNNNNNNNNNNNNNNNNNNNNNNNNNNNNNNNNNNNNNNNNNNNNNNNNNNNNNNNNNNNNNNNNAACUCAAUAUUUUUGUAGGGGUUAGCCCAUAGAUUUUGAGAAAAUUUCAAAAAAUAUGACAAUAUUGUUUUAAUGCCUAGUUGCAUCCUGCACUAACAUAUGAUGAUGUUCAAAGAGGUUUAGAGCCUUUGUCGUCUCCGUUUAUCAAGAAAAGAAUAACUUUAUUGUUGUUAUUCCAUCGAUUUAUGGAGUAUUAUGAAGUUUUAUUAAAUUAUUUGAUAAAAAUAAUUGAAAGAUGCUCAUUUACCAUGAAAAAGAGUUAAACAUACAUUAAUACAAAUGUAGCAUAUGGUAGAAAUUUUAAAACAACACUAAAGAUUAUAGGCUUCAGUAUACAAAGUAUUUACCAAAAACUCAAUAUUUUUGUAGGGGUUAGCCCAUGAUUUUGAAAGAAUUUCAAAAAAAUAUAUAACAGUGUUGUUUUAAUGCCUAGUUGUAUCAUGCACUAACAUAUGAUGAUGUUCAAAGAGGUUUGGAAUCUUUGUCGUCUCCGUUUAUCAAGAAAAUAAUAACUUUAUAGUGGUUAUUCCAUCGAUUUAGGGAGUAUUAUGAAGUUUUAUUAAAUUAUUUGAUAAAAACAAUUGAAAGAUGCUCAUUUACCAUGAAAAAGAGUUUAGCAUACAUUAAUACAAAUGUAGAAUAUGGUAUAAAUUUUAAAACAACACUAAAGAUUAUAGGCUUCAGUAUAUAAAGUAUUUACCAACAACUCAAUAUUUUUGUAGGGGUUAGCCCAUAGAUUUUGAGAAAAUUUCAAAAAAUAUGACAAUAUUGUUUUAAUGCCUAGUUGCAUCCUGCACAAACAUAUGAUGAUGUUCAAAGAGGUUUGGAGCAUUUAUGCUCUCUGUUUAUCAAGAAAAUAAUAAUUUUAUAGUAGUUAUUCCAUCUAUUUAGGAGGUAUUAUGAAGUUUUACUAAAUUAAAACCAUUGAACGAUGUUCAUUUACCAUGAAAAAGAGAUUAGCAUACAUUAAUACAAAUGUAGAAUAUGGUAAAAAUUUUAAAACAACACUAAAGAUUAUAGGCUUCAGUAUAUAAAGUAUUUACCAAAAACUCAAAAUUUUUGUAAGGGGGGUUAGCCCAUAGAUUUUGAGAAAAUUUCAAAAAAUAUGACAAUAUUGUUUUAAUUCCUAGUUGCAUCCUGCACUAACAUAUGAAGAUGUUGAAAGAGGUUUGGAGCCUUUGUCGUCUCCGUUUAUCAAGAAAAGAAUAACUUUAUUGUGGUUAUUCCAUCGAUUUAGGGAGUAUUAUGAAGUUUUAUUUAAUUAUUUGAUAAAAACUAUUGAAAGAUGCUCAUUUACCAUGAAAAAGAGUUUAGCAUACAUUAAUACAAAUGUAGAAUAUGGUUGAAAUUUUAAAACAACACUAAAGAUUAUAGGCUUCAGUAUAUAAAGUAUUUACCAACAACUCAAUAUUUUUGUAGGGGUUAGCCCAUAGAUUUUGAGAAAAUUUCAAAAAAUAUGACAAUAUUGUCUUAAUGCCUAGUUGCAUCCUGCACUAACAUAUGAAGAUGUUGAAAGAGGUUUGGAGCCUUUGUCGUCUCCGUUUAUCAAGAAAAUAAUAAUUUUAUAGUGGUUAUUCCAUCGAUUUAGGGAGUAUUAUGAAGUUUUAUUAAAUUAUUUGAUAAAAACUAUUGAACGUGCUCAUUUUGCAUGAAAAAGAGUUUAGCAUACAUUUAUACAAAUGUAUAAUAUGGUAGAAAUUUUAAAACAACACUAAAGAUUAUAGGCUUCAGUAUAUAAAGUAUUUACCAAAAACUCAAUAUUUUUGUAGGGGUUAGCCCAUAGAUUCUGAGAAAAUUUCAAAAAAUAUAUAACAAUAUUGUUUUAAUGCCUAGUUGCAUCCCGCACUAACAUAUGAUGAUGUUCAAAGAGGUUUGGAAUCUUUGUCGUCUCCGUUUAUCAAAAAAAAUAAUAACUUUAUAGUGGUUAUUCCAUCAAUUUAGAGAGUAUUAUGAAGUUUUACUAAAUUAAUUGAUAAAAACAAUUGAACGAUGCUCAUUUACCAUAAAAAGAGUUUAGCAUACAUUAAUACAAAUGUAGAAUAUGGUAGAAUUUUUAAAACAACACUAAAGAUUUUAGGCUUAACAGUCUCAGAUCUAUCUCUCCAAUCCUAAGCUCUUCUAAUGGUAGCCAAAAUGCUUCUUCUCCAAACUAGGUCUUUUUGCAAGUCUACCUCUAAAAUGAUACAAAACCCUAGUACAUAUAGCCUCACAGACGGCUAAGGGCUUAUGUUGCAAUUAAGAAACUUUAUGGAAAUGAAGUCUUCUAAUUUCGUGAUUAAUCCUCAAGUAAUCCAAUAUUGAUCGAUGACGCUGAACGGCUGUCGAUCAAUUUUAAUUGGCUCCGGGCGAUCGAUAUUGCUCUUCAAGCGUUGAUCGAUUCUCUACGCGUAAAAGUAGUGCCAAAGUGUCCCAAAAGCAUCAUUUCCUUCUAUCAAGUAACUGAACCUGUAAUUGCUUUGAAAAGACUCUAAAACAUGAUAAAUAUAACUUAAAACACUUAUAUACCAUGACUAAAAAUGGGUGAAAUCCAUGGUAUAUCAUUAAUCCACCAAUUUAGGGAGUAUUAUGAAGUUUUACUAAAUUAAUUGACAAACAAUUAAAACGAUAUCCAUGUACCGUGAAAGAGAGUUUGAUAUAUAUUAAUACACCUGUAGACUGUUUAGAAAUUUUAAAACAACACUAAUGAAAAUAGCGAUUUUAUAGUGGUUAUUACAUCAAUUUACGGUGUAUUAUGAAGUGUUACUAAACUAAUUGACAAAAAGUUAAAACGAUGCUCAUGUAAUAUGAAAGAGAGUUUAAUAUACAUUGAUACAAAUGUAGAAUGUGUUUAGAAAUUUUAAAAGAACACUAAAGAUCAUAAGGUUCAUUAUAUACAACAUUUACCGAAAAACUCAAUAUUUUCGUAGGGGUUAACACAUAGAUUUUGAGAAAAAAUUCAAAAUAUAAAAAUAUUGUUUUAAUGUAUAGUUGCUUCAUUCACUCACAUAUGAUGAAGGUCAAAGAAGUUUGAAACAUUUGUUGUCUCUGUUUUUCUAGAGAAUAGCGAUUUUAUAGUAGUUAGUUCACCAAUUUAGGGAGUAUUAUGAAGUUUUACUGUAUUAAUUGACAAAAAGUUAAAACGAUGCCAAUGUACCAUGAAAAAAGUUUAAUAUACAUUAAUACUAAAGAACACAGACUUCAGUAUAUAGAGCAUUUACCGAAAAAUUCAAUAUUUUCGUAGGAGGGGGUUAACACAUAGAUUUUGAGAAAAAUUCAAAAAUUCAAAAAUAUUGUUUUAAUACAUAGUUGCAUCCUUCACUAACAAAUGAUGAAGGUCAAAGAGGUUUGGAAACUUUGUUGUCUCCAUUUCUCCAGAAAAUAGCGAUUUUAUAGUGGUUAGUCCACCAAUUUAGGGAAUAUUAUGAAGUUUUACUAAAUUAAUUGACAAGAAAUUAAAACGAUGCCCAUGUACCAUAAAAAAAGUUUAAUAUACAUUAAUACAAAUAUUGAAUGUGUUUAGAAAUUUUAAAACAACACUAAAGAUCAUAGGCUUCAUUAUAUACAACAUUUACCGAAAAACUCAUUAUUUUCGUAGGGGUUAACACAUAGAUUUUGAAAAGAAUUAAAAAAUAUGAAAAUACUGUUUUAAUGCAUAGUUGCAUCCUUCGCUAACAUAUGAUGAAGUUCAAAGAAGUUUGGAACUUUUUUUGUCACCAUCUCUCUUGAAAAUAGCGAUUUUAUAGUGGUUAAUUCACCAAUUUAGGGAGUAUUAUGAAAUUUUACUAAAUUAAUUAACAAAAAAUUAAAACUAUGCCCAUGUACCAUGAAAGAGAGUUUAAUAUACAUUGAUACAAAUGUAAAAUGUGUUUAGAAAUUUUAAAACAACACUAAAUAUCAUAGGCUUCAGUAUAUAAAACAUUUACCGAAAAAUUCAAUAUUUUCGUAAGGGUUAACAUAUAUAUUUUGAGAAAAAUUCAAAAAUAUGAAAAUAUUAUUUAAUGCGUAUUUGCAUCCUUCACUAACAUAUGAUGAAGGUCAAAGAGGUUUGGAACUUUUGUUGUCUUCGUUUCUCGAGAAAAUAACGAUUUUAUAAUGGUGUUAGUUCACCAAUUUAAGGAGUAUCAUGAAGUUUUACUAAAUUAAUUGACAAAAAAUUAAAACGAUGUCCAUGUACCUUGAAAGAGAAUUUAAUAUACAUUAAUACAAAUAUAGAAUGUGUUUAAAAAUAUUAAAACAACACUGAAGAUCAUAGGCUUCAGUAUAUAGAAUAUUUACUAGAAAGCUCAAUAUUUUCGUUGGGGUUAACACAUAGAUUUUGAGAAAAAUUCAAACCCUGGAAUGAGGACGCUGGACCAUCCCAUCGAGUGACCGAUCCCAAGAACAUCCUCGUACGGUCUGAACAUAACCUUCUCCACCUGGUAGCCUUUCACCAUCGAGUGGCUCAUGUAUCUACUAUAGCCACCACCACCACCACUCGAGUCUCCCAAAACUUGAACAAACGAACCAGUCCCGGCCGCUAGCAACCCUUUCUGGCUGAAACUCAGCGUCUUGGCGUGGAAACCGUGGAUGGUCUGAACCUCCUCGAACUUGCGGAGGUCCCAGAUCUUGACUUUGCGCUCUUUACCAGACGUAGCCAUGAGAUGGCCGUUCGGAUGAAAGGCAACAGCAGAGACCGGUCCAGGGUGGCACUGCAUUUGGACCAGAGGUGCUUGGCUGGUGGGUUUCCACAUCGUGACGGUUCCACCGGAAUGUCCCAAGGCGACUACACCGUUGUAGGGAUUCACUUCCAUUACGUCUGUUCUGCCUUUGCCUGUUCUGAUGCUAGCCACCAUGUCGCCGUAGGUAACGUCUUGGUAGUGUAGCUGACCGAUUUUGUUUAUUGAUGCGAGGAGGAAAUGGUUCUUUAGGAACCGGAGUCUGGCUACUGGACCACGCUCCUGAAGUUAGGCAAGAACAGGUGUAAGUUUCAUUAUUUGAUCCAUAUAGUUGUAUAUCAACAAAAAAAAGACAGUAAGCCUCACCUUCAGACAAUGGAGCUCAGUUCCAUCUCUCGCGUAAAUAUAAGAAUACCUGUAAAAGAAAGUUGAGGAGUUAAAGUAUAAGUCCAAGCACCCUCCAAGACAGAAGGAGGCAAAGCAUACAUAAGGUGAUGUUUUAACUACAUACUUCUUCUGAGCAGCUGCAAAGAACUGGUCAUUGUGCAGGAAUGCAACAUCACGUACUGUUUCUCUUACCUGCAGAUAACAUCAACUUCUGUCAAGAACCAAAUCAAAAAAAAAUACAUACAAAAAGCCUUGAAUAAAAUAUGAAAUAACAAACUCACAUGUAUCUCUUUGAUCAAGUUCAUAUUCAUCAUGUCUACAAGAGCAAGGUGGCCUUUGCGACCACCAGCUAGCAUAUGCCGACCACUUGCAGUAAAAUCAAGUUUGUAAGGUCCAAAAUCUACACAUUUGUUCAGAAACACACAUAACAAAGAGAGUAUUUGUCACACAGAUUAACCAAACUACAAAUUAUAUAUGCAUAACAUGUGAUAGAAGAAGCUAUAGACCAUUUACCUGGGAGCACUAUGUCAUAUUGGUUUUUUGAGCUUAAUAAAUCUACUUCUUUGGCAAUAUCCGUCUGCUUGAUCCUCCAAGUCUUCUCUAAACCCUCAGUCUCCAAGUACCCUGCCGAAGCCGGCAAGAGCCACUACAUAAAUAAACACAAACCAGAUAACAAGACAGUAAUUAAUAUUCCAAAACCAAGAACAGAGGAAUCAAAGUGACUCAAGGAGUAAAACUUACCUUCUCAAUUUUAGCAGCAGCUUUUGCAGAUUUGCCAUACAGCUUCUCUCGUGAAGCAAGCUGAGUCUUUAGUUUCUUAUCUUUCAAUGACUGCAAGAACAUGAAGAAACAAACACUCAACUUCUGCAUUCUCCAAAACCAAAAGCAACAAUCAUUAAAACUCUUGUGUGUUAUAUAUACCUCUAAGUUAGCACCUUCUCCUCUAAGAUACUUCUUUUCUUUAGCCUCCAACUCAACAUCGAUCUCCUGCAAACAAAUUUAAAGCAAAGGUUUUAACUUUAUCGAAACCCACAAACAAUAAAGUGUUUUGAGACUCUAAAGGUAGUAGUUACCUGCUCAUCAGGAGGCAGGACCUUCUCCAUGAGAUUGUUAUCCUCUAAAGCAACCUCCAUCUUGAUACUUGCAAGUACGUCUUAUAACCUAAACCUAAAUUAGAUUGUUAUUCAUUCCAAUUGAAUCCUGAAUCAGCUACGAGCUAGGAAGAUUGAGACAAACGUAAGAAAAGAUUGAAACUUUAAAUUAGAUUCACCUGAGAUUAGAGAAGGCGGCGAGGAAGCAGAAGAACACGCGACGGUGAAGCUUUGAGUUUUAAAGGAGACGGCGUGAAUUAGGGUUUAGCAGCAAAUUGUGUUAAUGGGCGAGAGAGACACUGAGAGCUCCGACAACGAUCCUCUUGCUGAUUAGGUUUGAGGGUUUUGUAAUUUUUUAAGGGUUUUAAAAAACAAAAUAAAAGAGGAAAUCUUUUGAGUGGGCCUCGAUAACUCGCAAUUGGGCCUGGUCUGAAGGAAGCCUAUUGUAUACAAAACAACUUUCAUAUUUGAAAAUUAUAUUUUGUAUAUAAAUAUUAGUGUAUGGAAACCAAAAAAAUAUUAUUUUUAUAUUUUUGUAUAGCAUAGCUUUAAUGUUUUGACCCAUUUCUUGAAAGUGAUCCCGUAACGGACCAUCCUGUUCUUGGAGUUGUAGGACAUAUAUUGUUUGUUAUUAUUUUUAAUAUAUUUUGUUAACUAGCGGCUAGCGCAAAAAACAUUGGAUUCCAAUUCUGUGCUUUUCAGGAUUAGUUUUGAUUUUAAUAAUUUGAUUACACUGAGAACAUCUCCAGGUUUUUGAAGAUUCAUCUUGUUAUUUAUAUUUUGAUCUUUAUAAUUAAUUACACAUCACAUUCAUGAUUCUUAAGUAUUUUUCAUUUAUUGUUUAAUCUUUUUAAAAAGAUUAUAUCAUAAAUAUUUCAAAUUUAUUUUUAUAAAAUUCAAAUUUUACACAUAAAUUAAAUGAGAAUUUUAAAAUAAGAUUUAUAAUCUUUUAAAACUAAAAUUAGACAACAAGAAUAUUACAAAAGAUUCUUAAUAAAAAGAUUUAUAAUCUUAUAAAACUAGAAUUAGACAACAAAAAUAUUACAAAAGAAACUUAAUAAAAAAAUACAUGAAGAUAUAAUUAUUACAUAAAAUUAAAUUCUACAACAACACUAAUAGUCUAGUAAAUUUAGUUUGGAACCUUUAAAAUAUUGUCCAAACAAAUUUUGUGUAACCGAAGAUGGAGCAUAACGAAAGUAAUUUUAACCAUUCUCAAUCAUGGCCUUUGCGGACCAGAUCCAUAUAAUAUACAAAAAGAAACUCCAAAUAUUUGAUAUCUUAAUAUUGUAUUUUGCUUGUAUUUUAAUAUUUAAUUAUGUAUUCCUUUGCGAACCGGAUCCAUAUAAUAUACAAAAAGAAACUCCAAAUAUUUGAUAUCUUAAUAUUGUAUUUUGCUUGUAUUGUAAUAUUUAAUUAUGUAUUUCUUAUAAUUUUAUAUAUAGUGUAAGAUUUUAUUAAUUAAUUUUAUUGUAAUAUUUUUAUAUAUGUGCUAGUUAUUUACAAAAGUUUUAUGGAUUUAUAUUAAUUAUGACAAACAUAAAAAUCAUAGUGUAAAUUACAAAUAAUUUUAAAGUUAAAUUUGAAGUUUUAUUUUUGAGAAAAACACUUUAAAACUUCAAAUAUAGAGUUUGCAAGAGAGUCUUUUUGAGAUGCUCUUAUAUAGUAUUAUCAAUAUUUUCAUAAAUAUAAUGAAUUUACAUCCAAUUAUAAUCGUUUCCUAAUUUUCCUCAAAAUCUAACAGAAUUGUAAGAAGUUUCUACGAAUAGAUUAAGAAAGUAACAAAUCUGAUGUUGAUAAUAAUAAAUAAAUCUGUGACCCGCAUGUUGCUAGUUAGGAGUUAGGACUUGGCUCGUCUAGCAAUGAUAUAACAUGUAACAACUAGUAUCAUAAUACAUUAACGUACUUCGAUAACUUUCCUUGGUUAAUUAAUAGAGUUGAUAUACAUGUCAUUUUUAAGUUGUGUGAUCGAUGCAAUCAUACAUCCGUUCAUCUCUAUGAUAGGGAGACAAUUGAAUAUGUUCCCUAAACAUCCAAGGGAGAGCCACCUCCCUAUCUUUACUUUUGGUGUCAUUUGCUAUAGUUUUUGGAAUUUUAUGAUAUUUGUAUAUUUGCUAUUGUGAAAUAGCUAAGUAUAUUAGUAUAAUAAUAAAUAACAAAAAGAAUACAGGAAUAAUUCAUGAUUUGGAGGCCAUGCACGUUACGUUUUACUUGCUUUCUUUGUCUACAUUGUACACUACAACACAUAAAAUGCUAAAACGGUGGUAAAUGCUAGUCAUUUAUCUUUUUCAAAAAAAAACGCUAGUCAUUUAUAUUAUUUCUAUUCAUAUCAAUACGUAAAUGCAAGUAAUACCAUAAAAUACCACUCAGAUAUAUAUAUACCUAAUAUAUGCAAUAUAUCGAGCUUUACAAUAUAGUUUUUUUUUAACUUUCGCUUUACAAUAUAUAGUUUGUAGAUAAGUUAGAUUUGGUCAGCGUGUAAAUUAGCUCUAUACAUUAUCAGAUACACAUGCAUCACAAUAUGCAUGUGGAAUCACUUAUAUUCGGAUAUACUGACUAAAUUUAGUAACAUAAAUUUUGAGAGUUGCCCAAAAAGAAAGUAACAUAAUUUCGAGAAAAUAUUCAUACAAUAUGGUCCUAAAC